Molecule: long non-coding RNA, 46127 nt
Filed under: Cicer arietinum (chickpea)
Lineage: Eukaryota; Viridiplantae; Streptophyta; Magnoliopsida; Fabales; Fabaceae
Description: long non-coding RNA (CARI_LNC003603)
Source: RNAcentral
CGAUUGGAUGGGAACCUGGAGAGCUUCCAUGCGAUGUAGGUGAGAACACCGACACGGUUAGACACGAUGAGUAUGCGGCGAGUAACGAGCCAGAGCAGGUAUGAUUUCCUUGAAUAGAGCGAGGUUCCUCUGAGGGAGGUUCAGCCUUGACUCACCGGCAUUCUGUCGUGCGCCGGCGGUAACAAUACAAAGAUCGGAUCCGGAACGGAGUAUUCAAUGGAUGAGUUGAUCUUAACGCGGGGGAGAAAGGCAGUGGCGCCCUGAAGGUCGACCAUCUCGCCGCGGAGUUUAUCGGGUUUGUUUUCGACGAUGACGAGCUCGUCGGUGAGGUCCUGAGUGAGGAUGGUCUGAGAUGGUUCUAAUUUAUCCACACGUCAAAGAAAACGGCGGCGGUAAGUAUAAUGUUGGAUGAAAGCUGAUUUGGAAAAGAAAAGGACCAAAUAACACUGUAUCGGCCGGGUUGGUUUGUGUGCUUCCGCCUUUUAAUAUUUCAGUCUUCAAUUUUUAUGAAUGAUCAAUAUCACUUGACUUUUCAAAUCCUAGUUUGGAAUUUCAGUAGUUUGUUUAUAUUUUUUUUUAAGUUAUUUUAUUUUUUGGCAUAACUUGCUUUUACUUUAUUUGAUUUGAUUAACAAGACAAAUAUUUUUUUAUUUUAUCUUUUUUUCUUCUAAUAUUCCAUGAAUUUGAAAUUACAUAUUAAAUUAAACAACAAUACCUGUAAUUACUUUUUUAUAUUUAUCUAUUUUUGGCAUAGUAAAGAUAUAAAUAAAACAUAUGUAAAUUCAAUUAUCUAUUGUUAAAUUAACAUAAAAUUAAUUAAUUAAUUUUUAACUCACCUAUUCAAUAUACUUAUAUUGAAAAAAUUGUUUGUUACAAGUUAUAACAUGAACAACAUACCUUUAAGAUUUAGAUGAGAGAAUAAAAUGAGAUAUAAAUUACCAUAAUUGUUCUAUAGUAUUUUAGGAUUAGGAUUUUGUAGUUAAAAACCACCUAAUGAAAUAACGAUUAAAUAGAUAAACUACUGAGGAUAGAGAGACAUUGGCAAAGCGUUUCAACUCAUCGUAGUUUAUUAAGUAACAAAAGUCCAACACAUAAUUUAGUAUUUAAUACUAAUUAACUAUAAUUUAAUUAAUAAUAAUCUCUAAUAACUAUUUAUUAUUAAUCUUUAAUCGACUAAUUAAAUAAUUAAUCAAACAAUCUCUUACUUAGAUGACAAUAAUCAAUUACUAAAGAAUAUGAAUUUUAAUAUUAGAAUUUCAACUAUGGUAUAAUUAUUUGUCAUCCAAGAUAAAUAAGUUUUAAUGCUGCAUAAAUUGAAUCCAAUAGAAAAAACAAAUCAUAGAUCUCAAAUAUUUACAUUUUAUUAAAGAAUGAUAACUUUGGUCAUACCCUUUGAAAAUGUUAUAAUAAUCUUCUCCUAAUCCAUAACACUAAAAGACUUUACUCAAACUGAUAGGAGUUAAUAAUAUCUUAAAUAUAAGUAUUUGAUUAGUGGUUAUGCCAAUGAAUCUUCAUAUUUAAUAAAUGUCAUAAAAUAUCCACAUAUGUCUAAAAAUAGUAUGUCUAUAAGUAAGUUAACAAUAUAAUGUCAUACUCGAUAGAAGUACUAAUAUUACACAUGUAUUUGAAUAUUAUUACCUUAUAAAAUGUAAAAUGUUUGUAAUUAAAAGAGUAGAACAAUAUUUCUACAUCCUAAAGAGUUAUUGUGCAUUUUCCAACGUAUGAAAUUGUGAUGUUUACUGAGAUUAUUUUUUCAAAUAGAAAUCUCAUCAUACAGUAUGAGACUUACUUUUCAAGGUCUCGUAAAAUAUAUUAUAUGUUUUAGUGUUCGUAAGAGAAUAUGAAAAUAUAAAAGUAAUAUUUUUAAAUAUUUAUAAUUUGUCUCUAAUGAUAUAAUAUCCAUUUCAAUUGAUCCAACAUAUAUAACAAGAUUCAGAUUUUCAUGAUGAGUCAACUUGUUUAAAAUUACUCUCUAAUGAUAUAACCAUUAAUGGUGAGAUAUUAAAUUUUCAGUACAAAUUUACAAAGAUAAUAUCUAACCAUUAUAAAUAUUUUUGUGUCUCCACUGCAAUUGAUCUCAUAUAUAUAAACAAAUUUAAGAUUUUCAUUAGAACCCACUAGUGUGCAAAAUACUCUAAUAAUUUAAUAGUUAAGGGUGAUAUAAUUUUAUCACUAUUAUAAUUUAAUAUAUUUAACUAUAUAUUUUGUAAAAAACAAAAUACAACAUAAUCAUUAAGACAAAUGGUUAAUUGAUAUCAAUAUGAAAUUUCGUAUAUUAAUAAUUCAUUAUUGGUAUAUUUUUCAAUAUUUGAGUUUCAAAGUUAGGUAUAUUUUAAUAUUUUAUGCACAUAGAAUAAGGACUAUAAAAAAAAUCACUUAAUAAUUCAUAGAAUUUCCUAUUAUAAUAAAAAUUCUCAAAAAUAUAUUUUAUCAGAGUAACCUCUACACAAAGAAAAUGAUGACUAUAUAAAACAUUAAUUAUUGUAUGAAUGAAAUUAAAUCUCUAAUAUUUAAAAGAAUAUGUGUAAUAAGCAAAUUUAAUGAUUCACUCAAAACUCAAAUGCUACAAAUAUUGCACUCACACAUUUGCGAAUGAGGUUAUGCGCAAUAGAAUUAUAUGAGACUUCAAUUUUUACUAUUAUCGAUGAUAUAAGAGAAAUAGUCGUAAAAUUUAUUAUUGUAGAUUUAAUAAGUAUUUCAACAACACAAUAUCAUACUUGAUAGGAGUAUUAAUGCUGUACUUGUAUUUUUUAGAAUUUUUAUUUAUAAAUAACUUAGGACUAUAAUAUCAAAUGCCACACAUUUAACGAAAUUAAAUCAAAUAUCACAAUAAUAUCAAAUGCCCAACAUUUAGCAAAAUUAAAUCAAAUAUCACAAUAAAAUUAAAUAUCAUGCAUUUAACGAAUCAAUCAACACCUUAUAAUUAUUUCUAUUCCAAAUUUUAAUCUCACAAUUUCCAUUUUGCACAUUAAUUAAUUUAUUACUCAAAGGGCUACUGCCGUACGUAGCGAGCCAUGGAUAAAUCAUUGGGAAAUAUGGUUUUUCUGUUCAUCUCACAAUAUAUUAUACUCAUGAAUUCAAACGCUCUCUCACCCCUUACCUUAUUUCGACGCUUUCAUACACAAAUACGAUUCCACGAGCAUACAACCUUUGUUCAUUGACUCUUUGUCCUUCAAUCGAUCUAACUCGACAGUUUCUAGGUAAACGUUAAAAAUAAAUUAUGAGAAGAUAGUCUAAAAACUAAAUUCGAAAUUCGGUCAAGGAAAAUUACCAUAAAUCAGAAAACAAAUCAGUGGAUAAAAUAACCAUUUUUCACACGAUCGUUUUGGCAUUGGUUUCACUAAAAUUGGACUUACGAUGAAGAAGAAUGAUUCAAACUAAGAAAUUUUAUAAACGGAGAAGUCGAAUAUUUUAGAGAGAAAUUUGGAUGGUUCAAAAUCUGAGGAAGUAUGUUUAUUUGACUACCUAAAUAAAUAAAACGACAUACUGAAAUUUGGACGAGAACGGAGAAACUUUUUCAGAACAAUUAUCAAUCGGUGUCAAACUAUAAGUUGUGGUUGUGUUUCUCUUUGGUUUUACGGACGUCGUCCAACUCCCUUUCUUUUUUUGUGUUUGUUUGUUUUAUUUUAUUAACAAUUAGAGUUCACACAUGGGUCAAAUCCAUUGGUUUUCUUUUAGGUUUUACUAGUUUUAUUUUAUUUUAUUUUUUAAAACACAAUUUCAUUAAUAAAAUAUUAUUAAUAUUUCAAAGCUAAUAAUUGAAACUCUCACAUUCAAAAUAAUCUCUACAAUUAUAUUUAUUUCUCAAAAUACUCACAUUAUAAUAAUACCAACAUAUUAGAAAAUAGACAAAAUUAUAAAAUAAAUAAAUAUAACAUCAAUAUUUUAUAUUAAUUACUAAAUCAUAAUAAAUAUAUAUUAAAUCACAAUGUCAUAACAAGUAUAUAAAAAUAAAAGAAAUCAAACACAAUAUCAAUUCUAUCUCAAGAUAAUUAUUUAUAAAAUAAAUAACUAAAAAUAGAAAAUAGUUAUAAAUUAUUGAAAUAUAACUACGUGCAUACUUAAUAUCAGUCAAACACACAUAAAAGUAUUACAUUAAUUGGGUACAUGUAUAUACACGUAAAAUCGCAUAAAAUAUUUUUUUUAAAAUAUAUGUAUUACACUAAAAUACUAUUAUUUAAAAAAAAAUAUCAAAUAAUAAAAUAAAAUAUUUAUUAUUUAUAUCGUUCAUGUAAUCUAAUAUUUAUAAAACUCGCACAUCAUAGAAAUCACCUAUAUAACAAAAACUUGUCAAAAAAUUUAUCAUCAUAUUUUUUAAAAUAAUUUUAAUAUUAAAUUAAUUAUUUAAAAUCAUACUUAACUAAUACAAUAGUUUAUUAUAAAAUUUAGGGUGUUAAUUCAUUUUUAUGUUUAUCUUUUUCGUUUUUUAUUUGUGCGUAAAAUUUAGGAGAACAAUUUUAUGUUUUUUCCGGUGUUAACAAUUCUCAUAAAGAUAGUAGAUUCGAGAGAUAAAAAUUGAAAAUAGAUAUUUUAAUAAAUAAUAAAAGAUGAAAAUAAAUAUGAACAUAAAAAAAUAAGAAUCAAAUUACAAUAAUGUAAUAAUAUUUAAUAAUUUUUUAAUCGAUACAAAUUUUAUAAAAUUUACUGUUUGAUUGAAAAUGUAUAUCAUAUAAAUCAAUCAUAUAAAAUGCUCUGACAUUAUUGUAGAAGAACAAAGCUAUUUCUAGACAAACUUCUUCUUUCAAAUUCUUCUUAAAAAUAUUGUUGAUGGUGGCUUGAAUACAAUUACUACAUUUCUCUUGGAAGUUUAGCACGGGGUAGCAUUCUCAUCCUCCUCUAAUGAUGUUUUUUCCUUUUACUUUUUCAUUAUAUGUAUCAUUCUCGUCUGAUUUCUUCAAUGAUUUAUCUUUCAAGCAUUUUAUAAGCUCAAACAUGUGUUUCUUCACAUCAUCAAGUACAACAUCAAAUACAAUAGCGUUGAGCUGUGUACCAGUAAAAUGGUGUUUCAGUUUGUACACUCCUCCAAUAAAUGUUUUUUUUCACAAUAAUUGCAUUUUAUUUUCCUGAUUCCUCCAUCAACAGAUACAUCAUGUUUCCAUGUUGUAUCAGUUCUGCAUCCUAAUGCAUUUUCUAUACUCUGUGAGGUGCAGAACUAGAAAUGCAGGCAACAAGAACAUAUGUAGACAUGAUUGAAAUCAUGAGGCAGCAAGAGCAAUUCCAGUGAAGAGGAUUGAGGAGAGUUGCAUAUAUGAGAUUGAGAAGAGUUGUAGAGAUGAGAAGAAUUUAUAGAAGAAAUAGAAUGAUGAAAUCUGAAAUUGAAUCAUUUAAUUUAAGUAUUAGAUAUUCCAAAGUUGAAACCAAUUAAUAAUUGAAAAAAAACCAAGUCCCAAGUUGCUGCCUUCAACCUCAUGGGCAUGGCUUUUUUUUUCUAUGGGAAACGAACAAAAUACAAAGGUGAAGAGGUACAAAGCUGAGCCAAAGCAUGCUUUUAACAAUCGGGUCGAAGCAACUUAAACGGGUCGGAGCUUCGUAACACGACGCGUCACUCCCAUGAUGUCACGUUUUUCCUCUGCGCACUUAAAGAUCUGGGUUCUCCAACGAUUUUGCCUUCGCUCUAACACUAUUCUCGCUCAAAAACACGUAAGAUCUUACGAUGUUACGCUUUAGAGCUCGCUACUAACAACCUUGCACAUACCUAAAACCUGGAAUUCCUGACAUAUAUCUUGGUGAGGAGUUUUUUAAGAUCCGUAAGCUUUGUGAAUAUUUCUUUUCCUUCGACAAUAUCUCCCAAAACAAGCUCUAGCAAUUAUAUCAGCUCACAAGCUUUGCAAAUCUUCAUCAAUUUUAAUUUCUGAAACUGCUCCAUCUCUUUCUAUUCUAGUCUCCCAUGUUCUUAACAUUAUAUUUGUGGAGUCAACUAUCCGAUCAACCAUUGCCUUCAACAUGACUCACAUAAAAUGAUAAGAUUAAAAUGUUAUUUUAAUCAAUAUAUAUGUCUUAUAACAAUUGUAGAUAUAAAUAUAAAUCGUAGAUGAGAUAAAAAAUAAAAAAUAAAAUUAUAUUGAAUAAUAACAAAAUUGUUGUUACAUAAAAUAAUACAAAAAGUUAUUUUUUUUUAAAAUUAUUUCAAUUUUUAUUGAAAUAACAAAAAUAAUAUAUAUAUAUAUAUAUAUAUAUAUAUAUUUAAUAUAAUUCAUAAAAAUAGAUAAAUAGAAAUUUUAAAUUACGAUAAAAUUUUAGGAAGUCCAAUUUCGAAAUGCCGAUUUUCCAAAGGUUUUUUUUUAAAAAACAUUUAUUUCAAUGUGGGCCAAUAUCCUUCAUUAGGUAUAAGUGGAAACUCUUCUUUGUAGAUGUUAAAUACAUUAGCAACCUUGUACACAUCAAAUAGAAGCACUAAAUAGUUUUGACGAGCAAAAGAACAUGUAGCUAUGACAUGUGAACAAGGAAUAUGUAUAGCCUGAAAUUUUCCACAAUCACACCAUUUUCUUUGAAGGUUGACUUCAAAAUGACCAAUUGGUCGCACCUAUCUUUGGUUUACUGUUUCAUGCACCAUGAAAGAAUAAUGAUUAUGGUCGAAUUCCAUGACUUGGUGAGUAUUAAAUUUACCAACUUCACAUUUAAUCUUGUCCAUGCAAUCGUCUAUGUAUACUCGACCAGAAGCUAAUGAUGUCUGAUGUUGUUGUCCCCUUUCUGCAUAUAAAACUCUCAAUCUAUAGUAUGUUGAUUGUACCAAAGCAGUGAUUGAGAGAUUGCGUGUACCCUUGAGCACUGCGUUGAUUGACUCGGAAAUGUUUAUUGUCAUGUGUCCCCAUCGUCGUCCUUGAGAAUAAGUCAUAGUCCAUUGUUCUGGGAGGAUAUUAUCGAUCCAUCUUAAAGCCUAUGAAUUUGCCAUCUUGAUUUCAUUGCAGUAAUAUCUGAAUGAUGGUUCAUUUAAUGCAUAUCCUGUUAGAAAUGAUGUAAAAAUUAUCAAAUAUGAUAAAGUGAUAAGUGGAAAAUAUACUAAGAAGAAUUAGAUCAUUACCCAUACAAACAAGUUUUCUUUGAAGUUCCUUGUCCUUGAACUCUCUCGUGAAAUUUUGUGCAAUGUGUCGGAUGCAGUAAACAUGUGUUGACGGAGGAUCAUGUCAACCAUUAUUUAGAUUAUUAUAAGCACUUUUAAUGGAUUCGUGUCUAUCUGAAAUCAAACAAACGUCGACUUAAGGUGUUACAUACCUUCUUUGCCAUCCAUGUCUUUCUAUAGGAUAUUGUGUAGUUGUAUCGUUCCCAAAUAUGUGCAAUGAUCACCUUCACUUUAAUUGAUGGAUCAGCUUUCAAAAGCGACUUUAUACUUUCUCAUAUGAUGUUAGAGUCAAGCUUGUUAUGAGAACAAAGAGUGGAAUGAGAACAAGUUGACUAUAGUUGGACAUUAUUCUACGAAAAUGAGAACAAAGAGUGGAAUAAACGAGAGAAUCAUAUUCUUCACGGUCAACCUCUAAAUGUUGAAUUCAAACCAAGUUAUGAAUACAUGGUUUGGUUUUGUAAAAAUUAUAAACGAUUUAUUUCUGUAGAAAACCAAUUGGUUAAUCCUCGUGUCAAUCCAUCCCAACCCCACCACAAUCUAGCCAACAUUUUUUUCACCCUCAACCUCCACUACAAUCUAGUCAACAUUUUUUUCACCCCAACCUCCACUACAAUCUAACCAACAUUUUUUCCAAGAAUUAAUGUCCAACACAACAAAAUCAACAUUAUAUACCAACACCUCCUGACACUUAAUCGCCUCCUCAUACUUUUACCCACACACCACAUCCUCAUACUUUUACCCACACACCACAUCCUCAUACUUUUACCCACACACCACAUAAAUCUUACGGGUUCACGCCAGGGGAACAAUUUAAUUUUGAUAGCAAACAACCACAUCAAGAAGACAAUCGUCGACUAUCAUUUGCAUCAAGCGAAGAUGAAUUGUUGUAUAACACGUUCAAUACUCGUCAUAAUACACAUGAGUUCGCUACCCAGUUACUGAAUAAUAUGUGUCAACAAAACUUUCAAAUUUCAAGCUUUUGGAAUACUCUUCAAAAUCGCGUACGUAUGAGAAAACCUCGACAAUGUGGUACUGGAGGCCACAUUCGACAUUAAUUAUCGUAAUUUUUGUAAAAUUUGCGAUGUUUUUUAUGGAUAAAUUAUGUAAUAUAAAGUUUUAUCGUAAUUUCAAAUUUCUAUUUAUUUAUUUUUAAAAAUUAUAUAUAUAUAUUUUAUUUUUGUUAUUUCAAUAAAAAUUGAAAAAAAUUGAAAUAAUUUUUUUAAUAAAAAAAAACCUUUCGGAAAUCGGCAUUUCGAACUUGGGCUUCCUAAAAUUAUAUCUAUAAAAUUUCUAUUUAUCUAUUUUUAUGAACUAUAUUAAUUAAUUAUAUAUAUAUAUAUAUAUAUUAUUUUUGUUAUUUCAAUAAAAAUUGAAAUAAUUUUUUUUAAAAAACCUUUGGGAAAUCGGCAUUUAGAACUUAGACUUCCUAAAAUUUUAUCGUAAUUUAAAAUUUCUAUUUAUCUUUUUUUAUGAAUUAUAUUAAUUAUAUAUAUAUAUAUAUUACUUUUGUUAUUUUAGUAAAAAUUGAAAUAAUAAUUUUCUUAAAAAAAAAAACCUUUGAGAAAUGCCUAUUUGGAACUUGGGUUUACUAAAAUUUUAUCGUAUUUUAAAAGUUUUAUUUAUUUAUUUUUAUGUAUUUUUAUAAAUUAUAUUAAUUAAUUAUAUAUAAUAUUUACGUUAUUUUAUUAAAAAAUUAAAAAAAAAAAUUGAUUUUUUUAUAAAUCCCUUUGGGAAGUCGCCAUUUGGAACUUGGGCUUCCUUAAGGAAGUCGCCAUUUGGACUAAAAAUAAAAAGGGGGUAUUUUGGUAUAUUUUUUUUCAAAUGGGAAUAUACUGAUCAUUUUCCUAGAUUCAAAGAGGUGUUUAGGACGAUUUCCUUCACCAUUUUCAUAUUUGUCACCAUUAACCAUUGUUUGUGUACUCCUAGAUGAAUACAAGUCUAUUGGACCUGCAAUAUUUAUAUCUUAACACACCAUUUCAUUCAAUAUACAUUUCUAAAAAAUAAUAAAAAUAGCUUUUAAAUAUUUUUAUUACUUUUAAAAAUUUAGGUCAACCAAUACCCUUAAAAAUAUCUUAACCUAAUAUUUCACAUCUUAUCUUAUAUAUAAAAGAUAGGUUGAUGUGAAUUUUAAGGAACAUUUUCCUUUUAAAAAUAUAGUCAACUCAAUCAAUUAUUUUUAUUAUAAAAAAAAUAAAAGUUUAAUCGCAGUUUUGAUCCCUCUAUUUUAGCUGAAUCGCAAAAGUAGUCCCUAUAUUUUAUUCCAAAACUUGAUGAAGUUUCAGCUAUCGAGGGCGAUAGCCGCUACCUACCAGCUAUCGGUAGGGAUGGCAAAAAAAUCCGCACCCGCGGAUACCCACUCAAACCCGUUUGAUUUGGGCGGGGAAAACACGCUUUGAUUGGGUGCGGGUGCGGGGACGGGUGCGGGGAUGAUGAUAUCCACCCGCACCCAAACCCGCCUCGCAAGUAUUAUUAGAGUAAAUUUUGAAUUUUCUAUACAUAUACAUAUCAAAUAUAUUUAAUAUUUUUUUAAAUAUUAAAAAUUAUAAUCUUAUGUCUAUAUAAAAUAAUUUUUUUUUAUUAUUAUCUGAUAAUACUUAUUUUAUUAUAUUAAUUAUAAUAGAUAUGAUUUUUUAAAUUUAUAAUUUUAUAUAUAUAAAUGGGUGUGGGCGGGGAAACCCGAAACCCGUUGUGGGCGGGGAUGAGGGUUUAAUUUUCACACCCGCUAUGAAACGGGUUCGGGUGCGAGGGUGGAGGAGGCAAAAUCCGCCCCCGACCCGCCCCGUUGCCAGCUACCAGCUAUGAGAAGGCGAUAGCCGCUACCAGCUAUGAGAAGGCGAUAGCCGCUACCAGCUAUGAGAAGGCGAUAACCGCUAUCAGCAACCAGCUAUGAGAAGGCGAUAGCCUCUACCAACUACCAGCUAUGAGAAGGCGAUAGCCUCUACCAGCUAUCAUCCAUGAGGCGAUAACUGCUACCAGCUAUCAACUAUGAUAGCCAAUAGCUGAUGGCCAAUAGCUGAUAGACAAUAUCACCUAUCAGAUAUCCAGAUAUCAGAUUUUCAGUUAUAAGCUUAUAACUUAAUUUUACAAAAUAGAGCCAAAGUGUCCAUGUGAUUUCAAAAGAUCGGCUAAACUUUAAAAAUAUUAUUAUUUACAUUUUAUUUAAUUUCAAAUCUUAUAAUUUACAUUUUAUUUAAUUUCAAAUCNNNNNNNNNNNNNNNNNNNNNNNNNNNNNNNNNNNNNNNNNNNNNNNNNNNNNNNNNNNNNNNNNNNNNNNNNNNNNNNNNNNNNNNNNNNNNNNNNNNNNNNNNNNNNNNNNNNNNNNNNNNNNNNNNNNNNNNNNNGGUAGGUGAGAACAUCGACAGGGUUAGACACGAUGAGGAGAACUGUAUGCGGCGAGUCACGAGCCAGAGCAGGUAUGAUUUCCUUUAAUAGAGCGAGGUUACUCUGACGGAGGUUCAGCCUUGACUCACCCGCGAUCUGUCGUGCGCCGGCGGUAACGAUACAAAGAUCGGACCCGGCGGUAACGGAGUAUUCAUCGGAUGAGUUGAUCUUAACGCGGGGGAGAAAGCAGCGGCGCGCUGAAGGUCGACCAUCUCGCCGCGGAGUUUGUCGGGUUUGUUGUCGACGAUGACGAGCUCGCCGGUGAGGUCCUGAGUGAGGAUGGUCUGAGCGAUGGCAAUUCCUACAUUUCCGGCGCCGAUGACGGAGAUCUUGGUUUGACGCUUGGAGAGAGAUGGAGGGGAUGAUUUGGAAAAGAAAAGGACCGAAUAACACUGUAACCGCCUGGUUGGUUUGUGUGCUUUCCGCCUUUAAAUCUACCAAUUUAGCAGUUGUGAAUUAGUUGUACCGUUCAAUUAAAAUGAUUCUUUAAAUAAUAACAUUUCAGUUCAAUUUUGAUGAAUGAUCAAUAUCACGUCACUGUUUUGUUUGAAAGCAUACAAUUUCAGAUCCUAGUUCGGAAUUUGGAUAGUUUCGUUUAUAUUUUAUUUUAUGCUAUUUUUCUUUUUUUAGACAUAACUUGCUUUUAUAUUAUUUGAUUUGAUUAACAACACAAAUAUCCUUUUAUUUUUGCUUUUUUUUUUCUUCUAAUAUUCCGCAAAUUUUAAAUUAUAUAUUAAAUUAAAUAACAAUACAUCUAAUUGCUUUUUUUUUUAUUAUCUAUUUUUGACGUAGUAAAAAUAUAAAUAAAAUGAGUUCACUUAAGUUAUAUGAGUUUACAUAAAUAUAUUUAAAUUAGACUUACAUGUAACAUAUAUCACUCAAUUUAUUAAAAAAUAAAACAUAUGUAAGUUCAGUUAUAUAUUGUUAAAUUGACAUAAAAUUAAUUAAUUAAUUUUUAACUCACUUAUUCAAUUUACUUCCAGUGAAAAAUUGUUUGAUAAAGUUAUAACAUGAACCACAUAUCUUUAAGAUUUAGAUGAGAGAAUGAAGAUGAGUAUGAAUUACCAUAAUUUUCCUAUAACAUUUUAGGAUUAGGAUUUCGUAGUUGAGGAACUCUCUGAUGAGAUAAUGAUUAAAUAGAUAAACCAUUCAAGGUAGAGAGACAUUGACAAAAUGAUUCAACCCAUCAUAGUCUAUUAAGUAACAAAAGUCCAACACAUAAUUCAAUAUUUAAUACUAAUUAACUAUAAUUUAAUUAAUAAUAAUCUCUAAUAACUGUUUAUUGUCAAUCUACAAUUAACUAAUUAAAUAAUUCAUCAAAUAAUCUCUUACUUGGAUGACAAUAAUCAAUUACUAAAAGAAUAUGAAUUUUAACAUUAGAAUUUCAACUAUGAUCAAAUUAUUUGUCAUCCAAGGUAAAUAAGUUUUAAUCUUGCAUAAAUUGAAUCUAAUAGAAAAAACAAAUCAUAGAUCUCAAAUAUUUACAUUUUAUAAAAGAAUUAUAACUUUAGAAUAGUCAUAACCUUUGAAAAUGUUAUAACAAUCUCCUACUAAUCCAUAACACUAAAAGACUUUACUCAAAAUGAUAGGAGUUAAUAAUAUCUUAAAUAUAAGUAUUUGAUUUGCAGUUAUGCCAAUAAAUUUUCAUAUUUUAUAAAUGUCAUAAAAUAUUCACAUAUGCCUAAAAAUAGUAUGUCUAUAAAUACAUUAACAGUACAAUGUCAAAUCUGAUAGAAGUACUAACAUUACACAUGUAUUUGUAUAUUUAUCACCUCAUAAAAUAUGAAAAGUUUGUAAUUAAAAGAGUAGCACAAUAUUUUUGCACCCUAAAGAGUUAUUGUGCAUUUUUCAACGUAUCAAAUUGUGAUGUUUACUGAGAUUAUUUUUUAAAAUAAAAAUCUCAUCAUACAGCAUGAGACUUACUUUUCAAGGUCUCGUAAAGUAUGUUAUAUGUUUUAAUCUGUGUAAGAGAAUAUGAGAAUAUACAAAUAAUAAUUUCCAAAUGUUUAUAAUUUGUGAACAUGUGUACUUCCAUUAAUCCGAUAUAUAUACAAACAAGAUUUGGAUUCUCAUUAGAGUUCACUAAUUUCAAAAAUACUCUAAUGAUAUAAUAUGCACUCCAAUUGAUCCAACAUAUAUAACAAGACUCUGAUUUUCAUUAUGAGUCAACUUGUUUAAAAUUACUCUCUAAUGAUAUAACCAUUAUUGAUGGGAUAUUAAAUUUUUAGUACAAAUUUACAGCGAUAAUAUUUUAUCAUUAUAAAUACUUUUGUGUCCCUACUACAAUUGAUCUCAUAUAUAUAAACAAAUAUGAUAUUUUCAUUAGAACUCACUAGUGUACAAAAUACUCUAAUAAUUUAAUAGUUAAGGAUGAGAUACUAUGUUUUAUAGUGCAAAAUCUUUUAUAUACAGGGUUAUAUAAUUUUAUCACUUUUAUAAUUUAACAUACUUAACUACAUAUUUUGUAAAAAAAAAANNNNNNNNNNNNNNNNNNNNNNNNNNNNNNNNNNNNNNNNNNNNNNNNNNNNNNNNNNNNNNNNNNNNNNNNNNNNNNNNNNNNNNNNNNNNNNNNNNNNNNNNNNNNNNNNNNNNNNNNNNNNNNNNNNNNNNNNNNNNNNNNNNNNNNNNNNNNNNNNNNNNNNNNNNNNNNNNNNNNNNNNNNNNNNNNNNNNNNNNNNNNNNNNNNNNNNNNNNNNNNNNNNNNNNNNNNNNNNNNNNNNNNNNNNNNNNNNNNNNNNNNNNNNNNNNNNNNNNNNNNNNNNNNNNNNNNNNNNNNNNUAUACUUGUAUUUUUUAGAAUUUUUAUUUAUAAAUAACUUAAGACUAUAAUAUCGUCAAUAUAAAUCUUCGUGAAAAUAAAAUAAUAUUAUUUAAUAAAUAAAGUUUGUUUUUUGUUUUAGAUAAUUGACAUACUAGAUUAUCUCACUUGAUAUAGAAUGAUAAUUGAUUUAUAAAUUCAAGAGUUUUUUUUUUUUUUUUUUUAAAUAUGUAAACAAUUAUUCGAUUAUCUUCUCUAUCACACGAGAAUCAUGUCAAGUAACAUCAUACUGAUAGAGUAUGUCAAUCACUUAGAUAAUAUAUAAAUAGAAUUGCAAUCCACUUUAGCAAAAUGUUUUAAAAAUAAAUAUUGGAUUGCAUAAAAUAUAGAUAAAUUACUACAUAUCUUUAAAGUGAUUUUCUUACUUAUUGUCAUCUUAUGUAAGAAAUAUAAUAAUAAUAUACACAUCUUAUGUCACAAAAAUUAUAAUAUCGAUAUAAUACUUGAAUCAUAAUUGAAAAUUUAUAGGCACAUUAAACAAUUAUCAACAAAAUAUAUUAACAAUAAUUUUUAUAAUUUAACUUAUACAAAGUUUACACAAAUAUACUUACGAUAAGUGAAAUUAUAAUAUUACAAAUUAUGAAUCAUUAUGCUUAAUAUAAAUAUUAUAUAUAUAUAUAUAUAUAUCAGACAAAAAAAAUUAUAUUUUUACCAUAUUCGUGUUCUAAUAAGAAUGAAACAUACAUUAACACAUUUUAAAUUGGCAUGACAUAUAUGGUUUUAUAAUUCAUAUAUAAAAGGGAAUGAAAUAAUUUUUUAUUUAUUCAUAAUAGAACUCUUAAAAUUAUAAAAUUUUAAUUAUCAUAGAAUUUAAGAUUUUAAAAUAUUAUAGAAAAUAGUUCACAUUUAUAUGUAUGUAUGUAUGUAUUAUUAUUAUUGUUGUUGUUAUUAUUAUUAUUAUUAUUAUUAUUAUUAUUAUUAUUAUUAUUUACAAAAAGAAUUUAUAUUUAUAGAUUCAAAUUAUAGAAUAUGUCGAUGCUAUAAAAUUAAAAUUUGCUAAAAAUAAAUUAGAUGAACUUGCAAACAAAUUCGCAAUACAUAGCGUAAAAUAGCAGAAUGUCUAUAAAUAUGACAAAAUUCAAGUAUCCUGAAUACCAAUAUCUUCAAAUAUGUAACGUUGACAACACCAAAUUCAUUUAUUAGAAUCUAUAAUCGAUCAAAGCUACUAUAAAAAUCUAAACUAUAACGAACACCAUACUAAAACAAGAAAAAACACUACAUCAAGACAGAAAGAUAGAAAAAAACGUCGCAUUCAGAUGACAAGAUCACAACAACAAAAAAAUAAAAUAAAAACUAAAUUUGUGUGAAAACCACCUAAUUAGGUCAAAUGAAGGAGAAAAAAAUAAUUUGGAGGGUGAUUAUAUACUAAAAAUGAUCUUAAAUCACCCCUUUAUAAGGGAGGAAGAAGAAGAUAACCUAAAAUAAAAAAUUAAAUUUCUCUUUAUAUUCAACUACACAAUAAAUCACAAAAGGAUGAAUAACUAAACUACGAUUAAUAUCUAAUCAUGUGAAUUUCAUCAUUGCAUGUAAAGUCAUUGAACAUUUUUAUCCAUGAGAUUUUACAUUGUCACCUUAAAUGGUUUUUAAACCACGAAUAAACCAUUAUAAAAUAAGAAAAGACUAUAGUAAAAUCAAUAAAAUUAACCUCAAUGAUACAUAAUGGUAGAUUGUAAGAAUGAUACAACUUUAAAUUCGUUAAGUAUUGCUCGAAGAAUUAUCUUUAAUUUUAUUUUACAAGUGAGUGUUUAAUUAACAACAAGACAACAUAUAAUUUAUUAUUACAAGUUGUUUGUAUAAUAUAUGGUGUUAAAAUUAACAAAAUUGAGUCCAAAGUAAUUUUACAAUUAUAACAUUUAAUAGAAUAAUAUAAUUAUUAUUAUUAUUAUAAGAAAAAAUUUACAAAGAUUUUUUUUAUCUAUUCAAAUAUUGAGAAUUUAUUGUUUGAAAAAUAAUGUAUGAUUUUCACAGUGUAGAAAAUGUGACGAUUUGUACUCUCUUUUUUUUUUUAAUAAAAAAUUCGAAAACAAACAAAAUCUUUCUUUUGAUUUUCAAUUUCAAUUUCAUUAAAUAUGGUCGCUCAACAACAACAAUUAUAAGCCCCGAUAUCAUGUCAAUAACCAUCCACCCAACUAAGAAUUUGAGAUGAAAGUCAUAUGGAUUUAGCGUAAAAUAAAUUUUUGCAAGCAAUCAAUUGAUAACAAUAAGCAGUGAUAUGUUUAUAUUCUUUAAUUGGUUAUUAUAAAAGUUGUAUUAAGAAAAAUCUGAAACAAUUUAAAAAGUCGGUAGAAAUAUAUUCGUUUUGAGAUUUUAGGGCUUCAUAACAUUCAAGGUUAUAUUUUGUGUACUAUAGUCAAAUAAAUGUGGAGCUUCACAUAAAAAACAAAUUAAAAAAAAGUAACCGGUAGACACAAAUUUUAUAUAUGUGUAUGUUAAAUGUCACAUUUAAGAAUAGUCAUAUCUAAUUGUUAUAGAGUGUUUGUUACGGAACUUUCAAACUUAUUAUAAGAAUCUAAGAUGAGAAUAAAAAAAUUAUAGAUACAUAUAAUAUAUUUAAGUAUUAAGAGAUGGUUAUGAACCACAUAAUUUUACAUACUUUUAGGAUUCGGAUGAGAGAAUGGAGACAGGUAAAUUAUUAGAUUUCAAGAGAAUAAUCAAAAUCAUAUAUACGAAUUAUAACAUAUCUAUGUAUUAAGAGAUGAUUAUGAAUAACAUAUUUUUAAGAUUCUUAAUUACUUCAUUACCGCAUAAUAAUUUAGAAUUAAAAUUUAUUAAUUGAAUAACUAAUCUAAUAAAAAGUACAUGUAAGUUUGAAAAUACAAGUCUAUCAAAAGUAUGAAAUUGUAGAUUUCUUAUUUUCAUAUUAAAGUAGCAUUAAGAACCAAGACAUGUACAUUUUGAUACUAAACAUAUGAACACCACAUUUUCCAAGUUAAAUCAAUUAAUAGUAUAUAAGAGUUAAUAUUUUUGAAAGAAAAUGUGAAGAACCAAAUGGCAAAUACGCUAAAUGAAACAACCUUUGUGUAUCAAACUUCAAACAAACAAUCUCAUUUAUGUAUUAAUAAUAAGUGUUUAUGUAGUAUUUCAAAUUUAUUUAUUAUUGACAAAUAUUUAUUUGAUAUUUUUUUAAAAAAAAAUUAUCAAUGACAAAUAUAUAUUUCAUGUUUUUUAAUAUUUAUCUUGUAUUUUUUUAUGUAUCAGUGACAAAUGUUUAUCUCAUAUUUUUUAUGCGUUAAUUAUAUACAUGUAUUUCACGGUUUUUAAUAUUUAUCAUUUACAAAUAUUUAUCCAUUUUUUUUUAUAUAUAUUUAUAAGUGAUAAAUAUUUGUCACAUGUUUUAUUAGUUAUAUGUGACAAAUAUUUUCCCCCAUAUUUUUAUGUAUAUGUGACAAAUUCUAUAUGUCUUUUUAGAUUUAUCAAUAACAUAUAUAUAUUAAGUUUUUUUUUUAUAUAUCAUUGACAAAUAUUUAUCUUAGACUUUUUAUGUUUAUCGAUAACAAAUAUUUAAUAUGUAUUUUUUUAUAUUUAAUAGUGACAAUUAUUUAUCUCAUAUUUUUUUAUGUAUGAAUAAUUUUUUUUUCUUCAUAUAUAUAAAUAUUAACUUUUUUUAAAACAAUGCUCAACAACAUCACAUAAUAUUCAACCAACCAAAACAAUGCUCGAAAACAAAAAUGUUUCACACAAUUAGGUUUCAACAUGAUAAUUUGAAAUUGGAAAAAUGAAUUUCAUUUUUUGCAUAUUAGGUGGAUGUUUUAGAGGUAAAAACAAGGUGAGCUUUAUGUUCAAUAUGAAAGCUCUUCUUUUAGUGUUUUUUUAGUUUGAGCAAUUCGUUUUUAUGUUUAUCUUUUUUGUUUUUUAUUUGUGCGUAAAAUUUAGGAGAUCAAUUUUAUAGUUUGGACGGUGUUACAAAUAUAUAUAUAUAGUAGAUUCAAGAGAUAAAAAGUUAAAAUAGAUAUUUUAAUAAAUAAUAAAAGAUGAAAAUAAAAAAAUAAGGUGGUCACAAAUAUGGUGGUCACAAACUUUUGUGGUGGUCUUAUAAGAGUAUCCUAUAUUCUUUGGAAAGGAAUGAAGGUUUUCUUAGAUUCAAAGAGGUGUUUAAGACGAUUUCCUUCACCAUUUUCAUAUUUGUCACCAUUAACCAUUGUGUACACCCAGAUGAAUACAAGUAUAUUGAACCUGCAAUAUUUAUAUCUUAACACACCAUUUCAUUGGAUAUACAUUUAUGAAAAAUAAUAAAAAUAGUUUUUAAAUAUUUUUAUUACUUUUAGAAAUUUAGGUCAAACAAUACCUUUAAAAACAUCUUAACCUAAUAUUUCACAUCUUAUCUUAUAUAUAUAUCUCAUAUACAAGAUAAUUUGAUAUGACAUCUUAACCUAAUAUUUCACAUCUUAACCCUCUCAUGGUUGUGUGAUUUUGACACAACACUAAGAUUUUAUUAUUUGGUCGCAGGAAAUAACCACACAACAUGAAUGAACAUUCACAUUUCUUAGAUCUUGUGUCUUCGUGUUUCAACUUAUUAUUGGUUCUUUAAUACACACCACUCCUUUCGCAACUCAAUUCAAAAAAUUGUUUUCUUCUAUUUGAACUAUGAUCAGAUUUUGUAAUUACCACUAAAAAUCCUAACAUAGUUUCCUGAUGACGAACUCAAGCAAUCAAAUCAUCUCACAUCUAUAUGUAUUAUCAGUAAUGAAGUUAAUCUCAACAUUGAUGUCAAUCACCAAUGGCUCUGUAAUAUUUAGUUUCAAAUCAGAUGUUUCCUCCUAUUUCAAGUCAAGUAUGAGCUUAGGUAUUUCUUCAAGCUCAGGCUUUGGUUCAGCUACAGGCUCAGGUUUCAAAUCGGGUGCUGGAAAAUGUUUGAAUUUAGCUUCAAGCUCAACCAUAACUAACUAUAAAUAUUUAACACAAAUUAAAACUCAAUCAUGCAAAAAACAAACAAUUAUGUAUUGUAUUAACACCUACCAGAUGUGUGAAUCCGAUAGUGUUAUAUUUUUUUAAAACACUAUCGAAUGUGUGAAUCCAAUAGUGUUAAUUUUUUAAAAAAACAACUACCAGAUCCUAGAAUCUGAAACAAUCCAGUACAUAACUUCAAAAAAUUUAACAACCAAAAUGACAAUGAGAAAGCUUUUAGAGCUACAUUACCUUUGCAAUGAACAAGAAUACAAUUGAUGAUGCCAAUGGAUAGAAGAAUGGGAAUUUUGAACUCUAAAAACGUGAAAAUGCGUGAAGAAUUUAAGGUUGAGUAUUGAAGAAGAAGUGUUUGGCGAAAAGGCUGACUUGCUUUUGUAUUUGUGGCUUCCGGAUGCUGGAACCCGGUAACUUAAAUUAUUGAAUUCAUGCACCCGAGAAUUUACCGAUUCGAAAGUUGAGAUUCAAUAAAAGAUAAAUGCAAAAAUUUGAGGAGCCUCUAAGCAACAAUGGAAGAUAAGCAAAUAGGAUGUGGACUGAUGAGGCUCCCUUUUCCUAUUCAUUUUGUUGUAUAAGGAUUUGGGUAUGAUUGAUCUUUUGACUUGUUUCAAUAAAAAGAGGUAUAUCUAUUAUAAUAUAUUAAAAUAUACUCUUAUAUUCUAACAAGUACUCUUUCACCCUUGUUAUUAUUUUACACAUGCAAUUUACUUUAGCACAUUUUUUUUUUUGUUUUAACACACAUUUUACUAUUACUAUUUUUGCAUUUAAUAUUUUGUGGAACUAUUCAUGUUUCAUGAGUUACAAAUUACAAUACAAUAAAUAUUAGUUAUUCGACACUCAUUGUUCCUCCAUCAUUAUUGGUAACGGUUCUUCCUAUAGUUUUAAAUCUCAAUUAAUUUAUUGUGUCCUUUUAAAGUUUUCUCAAACUACAAUUAAGGGAAGUUAUUUUAUAUCGCAUGUUUUUUUCAUCUGGAAAUAGGAAGAGAACGACAUAUAUGAUUAGGUCCCUAUGCAACUCUUCGUAUGCUCAUUACAUACUUUCAAACUUUUUUCCUUUUAGAUAAGCAAAAAGUGUGAUAACUCAUAUAUUUUUUUAGUUUACAUCUUUGAGUUUUAAUUUUAUUUAUAUAUAUUUUGAUAUAUUUGUGAUCAAUUGUUGUUGUUGACAUUUGGUCCAAAUACAUCAAUUUUUCUUUCAAAAUGUGCUUAUCUUUCAUUACAUAAUAUAUUAUGUGUUAUCUAAUGUGUUUUUCGGAUAUACAUUGAAAUUUGAAACAGGUUUCUAACACUAAUACACAUCUCUUAAAUUUCGGUGAUAAUAUGAAUAAGUUAUACAAUAUUAUAUGAUGACAACUACAAUAUAUCUUUUUCACCUCAUCUUUAGACAUAUGAUGACAACUACAAUAUAUCUUUUUCACCUCAUCUUUUUCACAGUCUUAUGGGUUCUCAACAGAGAAAAACCACUCAAUGAUUCUUCUGGUGUUGUUACAGUGUCUGAUGAUGGCCAUGAUCUUGUGAUACUGAAUGGAAAGAAAGAAGUGAUUUGGUCAUCAUCCAAUGCACCGAGCAUCGCAACCAAGUCAAGUUCCAAACUUUUAGAUUCAGGGAACAUUGUACUACUCGAAGACACAACACGUAGAACUAUAUGGGAGAGUUUUCAGCAUCCUUCAAAUACACAGUUACCAAACAUGAAACUUACUACCAACAAAAGAACAGGUUGGUAGCUUAAUUAUUUAAUUAAAAAAUUAUGGAGUGAUAUAAUCGGUUAUUAGGAAUUAUUAAUAAAAUAAAUUAUAUUCAAUUAUUAUUAUGCACUAAUAUUUAGUUAUGAAUGAACCAUGAUGGGUCUUGUCAUUCUAUUAUUUGUUUAAUUGUAGCUACAUAAGAAGGUAACACUGAAAAGAUCUUUAAGUGUUGAACGACUUAGUAUAACUGAGGUGUUCAUUUGGAACAAAACUCGACCAUAUUGGCGCACCUGUCCAUGGGAUGGUAAGAUUUUUUCAGGGCUUCCAUAUACGAAAACUCAUGACCUCAAUGAUAUACAUGUUGGAGAUGACGGUUCCUUCUUUGAAACACAAAGGAUACAAAUGGUCUCAUAAUCUAUAAUCUAACUUCAGAAGGAAACUGUGAAGAGAAAUGGUGGGAUGAAAAGAAGAAAGAAUGGAAUGUAACAUGGAAUAGUCAUCAAAUGGAAUGUGAUGUUUAUGGUGUAUGUGGAACUUUUGCUAGCUGUAAUUCACAAAGCUCACCAAUAUGUAGCUGUUUGAAAGGGUUUGAGCCAAGGAACAAAGAGGAAUAGAAUAGGCAAAAUUGGAUUGGAGGGUGCAUUAGGAGGACACCUAUGCAAAAGUGUGAAAAAGAGAGCAUUAAAAAAAAAGUACUGAGAGUAAAGCUGAUGGAAUGUUUGAAACUACAGAUGGUCAAAGUUCCUGAUUUUGCAGAUGGGUCUUCUCUCACACUUUCACCAGACACAUGCAGAAGCCAAUGUUUGGGGAAUUGCUCUUGUGUUGCAUAUUCAUAUGAUGCUGACAUUGGUUGUAUGUCUUGGACUGGGAAUCUAGUUGACAUACAACAAUUCUCAAAUGGAGGACUUGACUUGUAUGUCCGUGUAGCCUACACAGAAAUUGGUAAACAUUUUAUGCUAGUUAUUAUGUGUACAACAAAUUGAAUACAUACACUUCUCUGAGUUUACCCUUUUCUCAGGGUUUUAGAUUGAAAAAUUUCAACUUUCAUUGGGUGCAGAUAAAGAGGGAAACAAGACAGUCAACAUUAUUAUAACAGUGAUAACAGGAACUGUCUUAGUUCUAGUUUGUGCAUAUAUCAUGUGGAGAAGAAUAUCUAACCACCACGGUAAUAUAUCAUAUACUCUGAAGAGUUUUCUACGUAUUAGUAUUGUCGAUACAAAUCAUACAAAUACAAGAUCAUAAUUUUCUAUAAAAUUAAAUUAUUUCUGCUAACUAGUUUCUGUUUUCUUUAACUGAACAAUUCAAAUCACUUUCAAUUUUAAUUGUAUUUGCCCAUCCACGGUAAUAUUAUCAUCUAUGAAAUAUUAAUAUUACCUUGUUAAUUCUUUACCACAUAGCAUUCCGUUUUGUUAUUUGUCCACCAUAUAACCACAUGCAUCUUAAGAGUAAGGGACAUUACAAUUAAACUAUACUGAAGCAUAAAUUAUGACCAUGACGCUAGAACUUCUCUCUAUUGAAGUCCUAAAUUGUGUUAUUGUUCUUUCCCUUCAAAAAUUUAUUAUUCUAUUUAGCAAAUUCGUACAGUAAUGAAUUUUGCACAUCAAAAUAAGUGGAUGUAUUUAAUGUGUACCAUAGAUAUUUUUGGAAAUUAAAAUAAUUUAAUGUUGAUUCAUUUUUAAAAAAAUUCUUUAAUUUUUAUAAUUUGGUCUUCUUUUUCUUGUUAAACUUUUUGGAAAUAUUAAAUUUGUCUUUAACAACAUUGUAUUUUGUCAAAUUUCAAUUUGAAUUUUAAAACAUAAAAUAUGAGAUAUAGAAACUAAAAACUAAAUAAGAUGAGGUUAUAUAUGCUACAUCUCUCUGUCAUUUUUAUUUCUUCCAGUUUUCCACGUGUUUCCUCAAGAGAUAAUUGUGUUUGAGCAUUGUCGAACUCUAAGGAUACGUCUAGAUGGAGGGUUUUGGAAAGAAAGGGGUGAGAGGAUUUCUUUUUUUUUUUUUUAAAUUAAGGAAGCUAUAUAAUAUGUCUAAAGAUAAAUUAAGUGUAAUUAAGAUGUUAUAUGACAAUAUAAGAGGACUUAUUUUCUUUUUUCAAAUUAAAGAAGCUAUAUAAUGUUCCUAAAGAUAAAUUAAGUGUAAUUAAGAUGCUAUAUGACCAUUUAUCAUGUAAUUCUUUUGAUUAUUAGUAAGAUUUCAAAUAUAUACCAAGGUAUGGACAUAACCCCAAAGGCCUACUCCCAAACAUAUCCUAAAUGUGGACACAUCUUCUAUCCAGGAUUUGAACUACAUAAACAAAACACAGCAAAUAGAGAUAAUAAUUUGUAUUAUGUCAAUUUCUUCAUUAGUUCACUAAUUGUCCUUCACAAAUUGAUUUUUCUAUAAACUAAUUGCAUAUAUACUCUAAUUAAUUUUGACUAAGAUGAAACUAAGAACUAAGAAUUAAUUCAAAGCUUCGAUUGCCAAUCACUUGUACUACUAUAAUGUGUAGGUCUCAAUCAGAAUACAUAUUUCUUAGGAAUAUCGUUGAAGAAGUAUCUAAUAAGAUUGAUCGCACUCCUUUACAUGUUGCUGAUAACCCAGUUGCACUAGAAUCCGCAGUGCUAGAAGUGGCAUCUCUGCUAGGAGGAUGUGACUGGUUUGGCUCUGGCAGCAAAGUUAUAAUCACUACAAGAGAUAAUCAUUUGUUAUCCACUCACAGGAUUAUGAAGUCAUUUGAGGUAAAACAGCUAAAACAUGAAAAGGAUCUCGAAUUGUUUAGUUGUCAUGCCUUCAAAAAUAAAAUAAAAAUGGAUCAAGAUUAUGUUAAUGUUGUCAACCGUGCAGUAUCUUAUUGUCAUGGUCUUCCAUUGGCUUUGGAGGUGAUAGGUUCUCACUUGUUUGGCAAAAGUUUGGAUGUAUGGAAAUCCGCAUUAGAUAAAUAUGAAAAAAUUAUUCAUAUAGAUAUACACGACAUUUAGCUAUGAUGAUUUGGAAGUAGACGAGAAGGGUAUUUUUUUUGACAUCACUUGUUUCUUCAAUUCUUACGAAAAGAGCUAUGUUAAAGAAAUAUAUACUUACAUGGUUUUCAUGCGAAAGAUGGCCUUCAAGUGCUGACUAACAAAUCUCUCAUAAAUCUCUCAUAAAAAUUGAUGGCAAUGGUUGUGUGAGAAUGCAUGACUUAAUUCAAGACAUGGAAGAGAAAUCUCGAGGCAAGAAUCACCAUUAGUUCCUGGUAGAAGCAGUAGAUUAUGGUUUGAUGAGGACAUUGUUAGUGUUUUGGAAGAAGAUAAGGUAUGUUAGAUAUAAUCUACUUUGUAACAUUUUUUACUAAUGUAUAAGUUUCAAAUAUUGUUUCUUCUCCAUUAUCAAUUAAAAAUGUUUGACAAACUUUAUUACCAUUCGCAGAAAAGGACGUUGAUUUAUAAUUUGUGAAUUUCUCCAUGUAUGUUGAUGACAAAGUCCUAACAUUUACUUUAUAAGAUUUUCAAGAGGCCCUCAAAUUCUACUAAAUAGCUUGAAAGUGCUUGACUGGAGUGGAUAUCCAUCAUCCUCUUUACCAUAUGAUUUCAAUCCCAAAAAUCUUGUGAUACUUAACCUUCCUGAAAGCUGCCUUAAAUCAUUCAAAUCACCUAAGGUGUGUAUUCUUUUCAAAUAUAUAAAUAUAAAUACUAUCUUUAACAUGUUUUUUGACAUUAAACUAACAUGUAUUUCUGGUCGAGAUUAACCUAAUAAUUUUAGGCAUCUAUUUUUGUUGUGUAGGCAUUUGAAACAUUGAGCUUUCUGAAUUUUGAAGACUGCAAGUUCUUAACAGAAUUACCUAGUUUAUCUAGAGUACCAAAUUUGGGGGCACUAUGUCUUGACAACUGUACUAAUUUAAUUAGAAUCCAUGACUCAGUUGGAUUUCUUGAUAAACUUGUUUUACUAAAUGCUCAAGGAUGCACUCAACUAGAAAUUUGGGUACACAACAUCAACUUGUCCUCUCUAGAGACUUUGGAUAUGAGGGGUUGCUUGCGUCUUGAGAGCUUACCUGAAGUAUUGAGAAGAAUGGAGAAGUUAAGAGAUGUUUAUUUAGAUCAGACUGCACUAGAUAAGUUACCUUUUUCAAUAGGUAAUCUUGUUGGGCUCCAACAACUAUUCAUGAGGGAAUGCCAAUGGAUGGUUCAGUUACCAAGUAGUAUCCAUGUAUUGCCCAAACUUGAGAUAAUAACUGCUUAUGGUUGUCGCGGGUUUCGAUUAUUUGACAAUAAUAAUCAUAAAGAAAAAGUUGGUUCACAAUCACUAGUGAUUCCAGCAGUCAUGCGUCUUUAUGAUGAAGGCAUGGAGGGCUUACUUGAUGUGUUUUUUCUUAACAUGUGUUUUUGGAAGGGACUAAACAAGGGGAUGUAAAUUGGUACCAGCUGGAAAGCAAGGAAUCAUCUAUGUAUUUUUGGUUCCGAAAGAAAUUCCCACGGAUAACUCUAUGUUGGGCAGGACAACCUCAAAUUAAUAAAGACAGUAUGAUGUUGUAUUUCAAGUUCAGCGUACCCAUCAAUGGUCCUAAGCAACUCACUUCUUCAUGUAAAUGACCAUAUUGUUUUAGAUUCACUUUAUUUAUUUUUAUUUGAUCUCAAUUUGUAUUAUUUUGGGAUAAUAAAAAUAUGUAAUUUGAUAGAGACCAGUCUCCAAGAUCAAUAGAAAUUGUAAUAUUGCGUGAUAAUAAGAAAUAUUAUAGAGAAUGAUCCUUAUAAUUCCAGAGCAAUGCUCCUCAGCGAAGAUAAUUUCUUUGUAUUCCCAAAUCUAGAAGGUUCUAACUAAAUAUGAUUCUGAAAAUGAUUUCCUCCUUGCUAACCGUCUCCUUAAUAUAACUACAUUCUCCCGCUAACAAAUUUGCUACAUAAGCAUAUCGUAAACAAUUCUCUAUUUGGCCCAUUUAUUGUUCUAGGCCCAAAUCUAGUACCUAACGAAAUUCAUCAAUAAUUUCCUUUAAUUAAUCUAAUAUAAAUCUUGAAGUACACGUGUGUAUUAGGAGCGCUAAGGAAUUAAAUUUCUGUCUUUUUUGACAAAUAAACAAAUAAUUCUUUACUAUAAAUUAUUUUCUCCAUCAUACAGCAAUUUUAAUGAUGACAGAACUAGGAUAUAAUAAAAGUCGUUUGUCUCUCAAAAGAAUAAAAACUUUUAUUAUUACUAUACAUUGAUCAACAUACUAAAAAAACUGUUCCUAUAUGCCACAUACCUUUAUGCAAAAUACUAAAAAAAUUAAACUACAGUGAAGCAUAAAUACUGAUUUAACUUACCUGCACCUCUUAUUGUAACUUGGUACAACAUCUUGGAGAAUCUUCAUCCUCUCACUGAUUUUCUCCUCCUGUACCCAUAUUAAGGCAAGUUUAUACAGUGUCAAGUACAUAUUUUUUUGCCAUUGUCAAUGUCAUUCAUAAAAAACAAAGGCAAUAAUCCUUGCACAUUUUGCAAGAAUUUGGCUAUUAGUAACAUGAUCUAUUCUCAUUCUUACAUGCAUGUAAUUUUGGAGGUUCUGAUUUCAGAGGAAGUAUCUUCCUCUUCCCCUGCAGUAGUAGCACUAGCACCUUCUUUGGGUUGGACUCGUCCUUAAUGGGCCAUUUUCAUUUCCAUCAUCCUCGUCUGGGCUGUUGUGCUUAGUUUUGAAUCUUUACAACCAACUUCAACAUCUUGAAAUGAUGAACAUUGUGUGAUUUGAAGUUUCUUUGCAGGACCAAAAUAAAAACGAUAAAUAAUUUUACUUAAAAAAUUAUUCGCCUUAGAUUCCUCUUGAGGAUUGGAUAUUUUUGCAUUCUGUCAAGGAAAAAAAAAAGGGAAUGAUAUUUCAUAAUAAUGCAGUCAAGAUGAAAUAAUUGCUCGUUACUCUUCAAAAUUCUAAGACUAUCUACUCAAAUUUUAAAUCUGAGACACCACCCUGUGUUAAUUCUAUCUUACAUCUUCUAGAAAAAGGAUUUUGUUUCAUUGAACGGGUAUGAGCAAAAAAAAAAAAUACUGUAGAAACAACUCUACUACCAAACCAAAGAAUCAUCAUAUCCAAAUUGAAACUACCAAAAGUGAAUUCAUAGUGCAAGAGAGAUCUAUGUUUAAAGCUUUCAUAACAAUAUCAAAGAGCCAAAAUGAACAAAUUUAUCUUAAUCAGGAAUCCGUCUAUAAGACAAUGAUUGUCUACGCGGCACCUAGCUAGAAUAAAGCAUUUGCAAGAAUAAAUUUAAUCAUAAUGCAAGCAAUGCUAUAAAUCUACCUUUCUUUCUCAUUUAACAAUAGGCACUUACUUAGAAUUGCAAUACUAUAUAAUCAAACUUAAAAUCUGAGACUUAAUGUAUUAAAAUUUGAAAGCAAAAUAAAGAAUGAAGACUAUAACAAUAAUUGAAUCAAGAUUAUUAAACGGAAUUCUGUUUCUUUGAACAGAUAUGAGCAUCACUAAAUUAGCGGAGAAACAAUUCUAUCACCAAAUCACGAAAUCAUCACAGAAUGAUGGUAAAAUACAAAUUACCGUGUUGUGAUCAAAGCCAAUUGGAACCAAAAUUGAAUUCGAAGGAACCAGAAAGAGAUUAGCGAGAAAUGGAUGAGGUCAAUGUAGGUGGUGUUUUGUGUAGGUUGGUGUGUUAUAGCAGAGAAUGAAUGAGGGUUUGAAAAGAAAGAAGAUGAAGGGAAAAACGGUGUCAUAGAAUGUGAGGGGUGAGUAGGUUGUAUAGAGGAGUGACUCUCACACUGUGGGGAGCUUUACAACGACGAUGGAGAUGACCAGAAAUAGGAGAUAUCAUUUAGUCACAAACUUAAACUUUUGGCCAAACACAAUUUUAUGCAACCCAUUUUAACAAUCACACAAUUCAUAUUUAUCUGUUACACAUUUUUAAGGAAUCUGCUACACAAUUCAAUAUGAUGGAAACACUCUUAUAUUUGAGAAAGCAAAAAAGAAUGAAAAUCCAAAUUGGUUCUCCAAUUCACAACAAUAUUGGAGUAAGGCAGCCUCUAACUCUGUUCAUAAUUAAUAUGAUUGAUUUUUCUUUAUAGAAAAAAAUCCAGAAGUGGUAUAUGUCUCAUUUAGUUACAUUAUUGUUUAAAUUCUAACCAUAUUAAGAACAACUCCCUGACCAGGUUCAAUAACCAAACCAUAAGCCGGUGAAUGGCACCACGACGCUGUAUUUGCAGUAGUUUCAUGUCCAACAAAGAAUAGAGUUCUGCAGUUAUCUACAAUGAACCUGUCUUGUAAGAUUGAAUUCUUUCCACUAUCAAGUAUCAUUUGCAAGAGCUCAUAACCUUCCUCUUGACGUUGGCAAGAAUCUAAAACAGUAUAAUACCAUUUUCCACAUUAGUAUCAUCCCUAACAAGACCAACAAAAUAAUAAGAUAUGAAUAUCGUAGAUUAGCGACACUGAUUCAAAAGAAAAAAUGGAAAAAGAGUACUCCAUAUCUCUAAAGAUUAAUUAAUGAGCACAAAAGUGUUUCAAUGAUCACACAUAGCUGAAUAGGCGAUAGCUGGAUAGGUGAAUAGGCGAUAGGCGAAUAGGGCGACAGGCGACAGGCGACAGGCGACAGGCGACAGGCGACAGGCGACAGGCGACAGGCGACAGGCGACAGGCGACAGGCGACAGGCGACAGGCGCGAUAGCCACUACCAACUAUCAGCUAUGAGGCAGCAAUAGCCGCUACCAACUAUCAGCUAUGAGGCAGCGAUAGCCGCUACCAACUAUCACCUAUGAGGCGGCGAUAGCCGCUACCAGCUAUCAGCUAUGAGGCGGCGAUAGCCGCUACCAGCUAUGAGCUAUGAGGCGAUAGCUGCUACCAGCUAUGAUAGCCAAUAGCUUAUGGCCGAUAUAGCUGAUAGACAAUAUCACCUAUCAGAUAUCAGAUUUUCAGUUAUAAGCUUAUAACUUAAUUUUACAAAAUAGAGCCAAAGUGUCCAUGUGAUUUCAAAAGAUUGGCUAAACUUUAAAAAUAUUAUUAUUUACAUUUUAUUUAAUUUCAAAUCUUAUAAUUUACAUUUUAUUUAAUUUCAAAUCUGUAUGCGGCGAGUAACGAGCCAGAGCAGGUAUGAUUUCCUUUAAUAGAGCGAGGUUACUCUGAAGGAGGUUCAGCCUUGACUCACCCGCGAUCUGUCGUGCGCCGGCGGUAACAAUACAAAGAUCGGACCCGGCGGUAACGGAGUAUUCAUCGGAUGAGUUGAUCUUAACGCGGGGGAGAAAGCAGCGGCGCGCUGAAGGUCGACCAUCUCGCCGCGGAGUUUGUCGGGUUUGUUGUCGACGAUGACGAGCUCGCCGGUGAGGUCCUGAGUGAGGAUGGUCUGAGCGAUGGCAAUUCCUACAUUUCCGGCGCCGAUGACGGAGAUCUUGGUUUGACGCUUGGAGAGAGAUGGAGGGGAUGAUUUGGAAAAGAAAAGGACCGAAUAACACUGUAACCGCCUGGUUGGUUUGUGUGCUUUCCGCCUUUAAAUCUACCAAUUUAGCAGUUGUGAAUUAGUUGUACCGUUCAAUUAAAAUGAUUCUUUAAAUAAUAACAUUUCAGUCUUCAAUUUUGAUGAAUGAUCAAUAUCACGUCACUGUUUUGUUUGAAAGCAUACAAUUUCAGAUCCUAGUUCGGAAUUUGGAUAGUUUCGUUUAUAUUUUAUUUUAUGCUAUUUUUCUUUUUUUAGACAUAACUUGCUUUUAUAUUAUUUGAUUUGAUUAACAACACAAAUAUCCUUUUAUUUUUGCUUUUUUUUCCUUCUAAUAUUCUGCAAAUUUUAAAUUAUAUAUUAAAUUAAAUAACAAUACAUCUAAUUGUUUUUUUAAUUAUUAUCUAUUUUUAACAUAGUAAAAAUAUAAAUAAAAUGAGUUUAUUUAAGUUAUAUGAGUUUACAUAAAUAUAUUUAAAUUAGACUUACAUGUAACAUAUAUCACUCAAUUUAUUAAAAAAUAAAACAUAUGUAAGUUCAGUUAUAUAUUGUUAAAUUGACAUAAAAUUAAUUAAUUAAUUUUUAACUCACUUAUUCAAUUUACUUCCAGUGAAAAAUUGUUUGAUAAAGUUAUAACAUGAACCACAUAUCUUUAAGAUUUAGAUGAGAGAAUGAAGAUGAGUAUGAAUUACCAUAAUUUUCCUAUAACAUUUUAGGAUUAUGAUUUCGUAGUUGAGGAACUCUCUGAUGAGAUAAUGAUUAAAUAGAUAAACCAUAUAAGAUUGAAAAGAGUUGUAGAGAUGAGAAGAAUUUAUAUAAUAAAUAAGAGGAAAUAUGAAAUUGAAUCAUUUAAUUUAAGUAUUAGAAAUUCCAAAGUUGAAACCAAUUCAUCAUUGAAAAAAAACGGAGUCCCAAGUUGUUGCCUUCAACCUCACGCACAUGGCUUUUUUCUAUGGAAAACGAACAUAAUAAAAAGGUGAAGAGGUGCAAAACAUGCUUUUUACAAUUGGGUCGAAACGACUUAAAUGGGUCAAAGCUUCGCGACAUGGCGCGCUGCUCCCAUGAUGUCACGCUUUUUCUCUACGAGCUCAAAGAUAUGGGUUCUCCAACAAUUUUGUCUUCGCUCUAACAAUGUUCUCACUCAAAAACAUGUAAGAUCUUACAAACUUACGCUUUAGAGCUCACUACUAACAACCUUGCACAUACCUAUAGUCCGAAUUCCUGACAUAUAUCUUGGAGAGGAGUUUUUUAAGAUCUGUAAGCUUUGUGAAUAUUUCUUUUCCUUCGACAUAAUUGCUCCCAAAACAAGCUCUAGAAAUUAUAUCAGCUGACAAGCUUCGCAAAUCUUCAUCAAUUUUAAUUUCUGAAACUGCUCCAUCUCUUUCUGUUUAGUCUCCCAUGUUCUUAACAUUUUAUUUGUGGAGUCAACUUUCCGAUCAACCAUUGCCUUCAACAUGACUCACAUAAAAUGAAAAGAUUAAAAUGUUAUUUUAAUCAAUAUAUAUGUCUUAUAACAAUUCUAGAUAUAAAUAUAAAUCGUAGAUGAGAUAAAAAUAAAAAUAAAAUUAUAUUGAAUAAUAACAAAAUUGUUGUUACAUAAAAUAAUACAAAAAAAUUUAUAUAGCAACCUAAUUAAUAUUAUAUCUAAUACGCUUAUAUUUGCUCCUUCUAAAUACUCAAACAUACUUUUAUUUCGAUAAAACACGUACACAGAACCUAAUCGUUAGAGUAUUGAAAUUUAUUUAAAGGAUUGAAUCUUCUAACAUAUAUUUUUAAAUAUACCUCUAUUAAGGACUGAACUCCUGACCAAAUAAUUAAAUAACCAAACUUUCUACAACUUGUACCACACACCAACAUACCAGUUUCGGCACAAUUAUUUUCCUUAUUUUUCUCUGAUGAGCCCAAAUCAACUCAUUUGUUGAGGGUCAAAAGCCCUCACGAAGGGGGGGAAACAGCCACAAAGUAGACAUUUGUGGCGGCCUUAGGCAGCCACAAAUAAGGUGGUCACAAACCUUUGUGGCGGCCUUAUAAGAGUAUCCUAUAUUCUUUGGAAAGGAAUGAAUGUUUUCUUUGAUUCAAAGAGGUGUUUAAGACGAUUUCCUACACCAUUUUCAUAUUUGUCACCAUUAACCAUUGUGUACUCCCAGAUGAAUACAAGUAUAUUGAACCUGCAAUAUUUAUAUCUUAACACACCAUUUCAUUGGAUAUACAUUUAUGAAAAAUAAUAAAAAUAGUUUUUAAAUAUUUUUAUUACUUUUAGAAAUUUAGGUCAAACAAUACCUUUAAAAACAUCUUAACCUAAUAUUUCACAUCUUAUCUUAUAUAUAUAAAAGAUAAUUUGAUAUGACAUCUUAACCUAAUAUUUCACAUCUUAUCUUAUAUAUAUCUCAUAUAUAAAAGAUAAUUUGAUAUGACAUCUUAACCUAAUAUUUCACAUCUUAUCUUAUAUAUAUCUCAUAUAUAAAAGAUAAUUUGAUAUGACAUCUUAACCUAAUAUUUCACAUCUUANNNNNNNNNNNNNNNNNNNNNNNNNNNNNNNNNNNNNNNNNNNNNNNNGUUUCAAAUCGGGUGCUGGAAAAUGUUUGAAUUUAGCUUCAAGCUCAACCAUAACUAACUAUAAAUAUUUAACACAAAUUAAAACUCAAUCAUGCAAAAAACAAACAAUUAUGUAUUGUAUUAACACCUACCAGAUGUGUGAAUCCGAUAGUGUUAUAUUUUUUUAAAACACUAUCGAAUGUGUGAAUCCAGUAGUGUUAAUUUUUUAAAAAACAACUACCAGAUCCUAGAAUCUGAAACAAUCCAGUACAUAACUUCAAAAAAUUUAACAACCAAAAUGACAAUGAGAAAGCUUUUAGAGCUACAUUACCUUUGCAAUGAACAAGAAUACAAUUGAUGAUGCCAAUGGAUAGAAGAAUGAGAAUUUUGAACUCUAAAAACGUGAAAAUGUGUGAAGAAUUUAAGGUUGAGUAUUGAAGAAGAAGUGUUUGGCGAAAAGGCUGACUUGCUUUUGUAUUUGUGGCUUGCUUUUGUAUUUGUGGCUUCCGAAUGCUGGAACCCGGUAACUUAAAUUACUGAAUUCAUGCACCCGAGAAUUUACCGAUUCGAAAGUUGAGAUUCAAUAAAAUAUAAAUACAAAAAUUUGAGGAGCCUCUAAGCAACGAUGGAAGAUAAGCAAAUAGGAUGUGGACCGAUGAGGCUCCCUUUUCUUAUUCCUUUUGUUGUAUAAGGAUUUGGGUCUGAUUGGUCUUUUGACUUGUUUCAAUAAAAAGAGGUAUAUCUAUUAUAAUAUAUUAAAAUAUACUCUUAUAUUCUAACAAGCACUCUUUCACCCUUCUUAUUAUUUUACACAUUACUUUAACACAUUUUUUUUUGUUUUAACACAUAUUUUACUAUUAUUAUUUUUGCAUAUAAUAUUUUGUGGAACUAUUCAUGUUUCAUGAGUUACAAAUUACAAUACAAUAAAUAUUAGUUAUUCGACACUCAUUGUUCCUCCAUCAUUAUUGGUAACGGUUCCUCCUAUAGUUUUAAAUCUCAAUUAAUAUAUUGUGUCCUUUUAAAGUUUUCUCAAACUACAAUUAAGGGAAGUUAUUUUAUAUCGCAUGUUAUUUUUAUCUGGAAAUAGGAAGACAACAACAUAUAUGAUUAGGUCCCUAUGCAACUCUUCGUAUGCUCAUUACAUACUUUCACACUUUUUUCCUUUUAGAUAAGCAAAAAGUGUGAUAACUCAUAUAUUUUUUUAGUUUACGUCUUUGAGUUUUAAUUUUAUUUUAUAUAUAUUUUGAUAUAUUUGUGAUCAAUUGUUGUUGUUGACAUUUGGUCUAAAUACAUCACUUUUUCUUUCAAAAUGUGCUUAUUUUUCAUUACAUAGUAUAUUAUGUGUUAUCCAGUGUAUUUUUCGGAUAUACAUUGAAAUUUGAAACAAGUUUCUAACACUAAUACACAUCUCUUAAAUUUCAAUGAUAAUAUGAAUAAGUUAUACUAUAUUAUAUGAUGACAACUACAAUAUCUUUUUCACCUCAUCUUUAGACAUAUCGAGUCAAAUAGUUUAACAAUUAACUCUCUAAGAUUUUUUUAGAUGAAAAAUAAGAAAUAAUUCAUGUCUAUGAGAACCUAUCUCACAUUUUUAGUUUCUACAAUCAUUUAAUUUCCUCAAAUUGAGUAUUACACAAUAUCAUCAGGAAAUAAAUAAAUAAAUAAAAUCUUUUAAUAAAAAAUAGCUAUUUUUAGUGAGAUCUAUAAAAUAAAUAAAUAUAUCUCAUGUCACUUAUUAGAUAACUAAAAUUAAUAUUCAAACCAGAUAGAGAGAGAUAUCAUUUAUAAUUAGACCAAUAAUUCGUUAUUGAAUUAUAAAGUUCUUUAAAUUCAAUUUAUAUUAUUUCAACACGUCUUUUCUUUUUUAUUCUCAUUAUACUCUUGUUGAUAUGGACUUAUAAGAAAAUUUGUAUGUUAUCUGAAAUAUUGAAUGUUUUUUGUAUGAUUAUAUAUUAAAAUAUAUUUUUAAUUUAUUUUAAAUAGUAAAUUAUUUUUAAUUUUGGUACAAUAUAGUAAAUUGGUUAUCUCAAGUAAUAUUUUUUAAUUAUUGUUUGCAUUAUAUAAAAUAUGUUUCGACACAUUAAAAUUGUAAAUAGACAACAUUGACGCAUCAACCUACCGAUAUAUUUUUUCUAAAGACAAAAUCGUGAAAUUUUAUUUAAGUUAUUAUCAAAUUAUAUGUAUAAUAUUGUAAAAUAUUUAAAAAAAAAAUUAUAUUUAUUCGUACAACGUGUGGAUUUUGAUCUAAUUUAAAUAAAUAAAAACAUGCAUGGAAUAAGUCACGAGAUUGUAAUAGGUGACAUGAGUCAAUUUAAUUUUUGUUUUUUGAGCAGGACUCAAAUGAAAUAUAUACUAGCGGUCUUAAAACAUAAUUCAUUGUUUUUCCACCACGUGACUAUACUUUUCUAAUGACUCUUGAUUUUUCAAUACAGUUCAUGCAUUUUUUCCAAGCAAAUAUUUGCUCAUUUUUACAAGAAAUAUCUGUUUAUUACAUGUUUCAUUUGUUUGAGAAAAACACCUUAUAACUCUGAAGUAGAAAUAUAUUAUUAUUAUUAUUAUUAUUAUUAUUAUUAUUCUUUUAUUAAGUAGAAAUAUAUAUUGCUUUAAUUCACAAAAAUUUCAAUUUAUUUUUAAGCAAGAUCUCUAUGGUAUUUUUCUUAAGGAAAAAAAGGUAGUGACAACUUAUUUUCCCUGAAGUUAUAGAAAUUAAUAACACUUUAACGGGGCAUUCAUCGUACAUGGAAAAGUAUUGCUUCAUUGUCGAUCUUAUCUCUAUGUUGUGUAAAUAUUACUAGACAGCAUCCAACAAUGUCGUGUACCCUUCGUCUAAAAUAUUGUUGGUUUACCCUUCCCUUCUUUAUUAUAAGAUUCAUUUUUUAGACUCUUUUUUAUCGCUUAAUAUACAAUUAUUUUCAAAAUUCAUAUACAUUAAUAAUUUCUUCAUAAAAAUAACCCUAUUUAAUUUACAAUUGAGAAACAAUUUUGUUUUUGUCUUGUAAUAUCAUAUGUAAGGGUAAUUAUAUUUUAUUAUAAAUUUAUUGCUACAACUAAACUACUUUUCUUAAUACUGUAGUUAAUGUGAGUCUUGUAAUAAAAGAGUAUAUUGUAAAUGUAACAUAAUACAAAUAAUAAAAGAAAGUAUGUUAAGAUAAUUUUCUGGCGGACGGAUGCUGUUGUGGUCUAACUUUAUAAAUGAUCCAUCAUAGGUCGAUGAUGAAUUAUUUAAAAAUCAGAUCACCAUUUUAAUUGUAAAAGUGCGGAAAAUGGUUAAAUUAUACUUUCAGUAAGACUAAUGUAUAAUUAAUCGUCGUUAAAGUUUCUGAGUUAUUUUUGAACAGAAGUCCACCAUGAAAUCUCCAUGAUAAUAAACUGUAGCAUGAAAGUUCCAAUACGCGCCUAUAAAGUCACGUCAAACGGUUUUGUCGACUAUUAACGGGCCAAGAAGUCCCAAUAAUCAACAAGUUAAAAGGAAGUUACUUAUGGAAACUAAAUGUCAUCAUUUAUCAUAACAAGAAGCAAUCAUCUAACUAAUAAGUUUUAGUUAUUACACAAAUAUGUUUCUGUUCUUCAUUUCCAUUAUGCUAUAUUUUAGUUUUUUAAAUGUAAGUGUUGCCAUAGACACCAUAACAUCAACUAAUUUUAUCAAGGACUCUGAAACUCUAAGAUCCAAGAAUGGUAACUUCACCUUAGGCUUCUUCAGCCCUGAAAAUUCUACAAAUCGCUAUGUCGGAAUUUGGUGGCAGCCACAAUUCACAGUCUUAUGGGUUCUCAACAGAGAAACACCACUGAUUGAUUCUUCUGGUGUUGUUACAAUAUCUGAUGAUGGCAAUGAUCUUGUGAUACUGAAUGCAAAGAAGGAAGUGAUUUGGUCAUCAUCCAAUGCGCCGAGCAUCGCAACCAAGUCAAGUUUCAAACUUUUAGAUUCAGGGAACCUUGUACUACUUGAAGACACGACAGGUAGAACUAUAUGGGAGAGUUUUCAGCAUCCUUCAAAUACACAGUUACCAGACAUGAAACUUACUACCAACAAAAGAACAGGUUGGUAGCUUAAGUAUUUAAUUAAAAAAUUAUGGCAUGCUAUAAUCAGUUAUUAGGAAUUAAUAAUAAAAUAGUCAAUUAUUAUUAUGCACUAAUAUUUAGUUAUGAAUGAACCAUGAUAGGUCUUGUCAUUCUAUUAUUUGUUUAAUCGUUACUACAUUAGACGGUAACACUGAAAAGAUGGCAAUGAGGGGGUUCAUUUCUCAACUGUCUGUUCUCAUUGAAAUGUACGAAGUUCUAAUACAUUCUUAACUUAAAUAUGUUAUGAUUUGUAUCUAAUUACAGGUGAGAAAGUAAAACUUACAUCAUGGAAAAGCUCUUCUAAUCCAUCCAUUGGAAACUUCUCUUUAAGUGUUGAACGACUUAGUAUAACUGAGGUGUUCAUUUGGAACAAAACUCGACCAUAUUAGCGCACCAGUCCAUGGGAUGGUAAGAUUUUUUCAGGGCUUCCAUAUACGAAAACUCACGACCUCAAUGAUAUACAUGUUGGAGAUGACAGUUCCUUCUUUGAAACAACAAAGGAUACAAUUAGUCUCAUAAUCUAUAAUCUGACUUCAGAAGGAAACUGUGAAGAGAAAUGGUGGGAUGAAAAGAAGAAAGAAUGGAAUGUAACAUGGAAUAGUCAUCAAAUGGAAUGUGACGUUUAUGGUGUAUGUGGAACUUUUGCUAGCUGUAAUUCACAAAGCUCACCAAUAUGUAGCUGUUUGCAAGGGUUUGAGCCAAGGAACAAAGAGGAAUGGAAUAGACAAAAUUGGAUUGGAGGGUGUGUUAGGAGGAAACCUUUGCAAAAGUGUAAAAAAGAGAGCAUUCAUAACAAAAGUACAGAGAGUAAAGCUGAUGAUUUUUUGAAACUACAGAUGGUCAAAGUUCCUGAUUUUGCAGAUGGGUCUUCUCUCCCACUUUCACCAGACACAUGCAGAAGCCAAUGUUUGGGGAAUUGCUCUUGUGUUGCAUAUUCAUAUGAUGCUGACAUUGGUUGUAUGUCUUGGACUGGGAAUCUAGUUGACAUACAACAAGUCUCAAAUGGAGGACUUGACUUGUAUGUCCGUGUAGCCUACACAGAAAUUGGUAAACAUUUUAUGCUGGUUACUAUUUGUGCAACAAAUUGAAUACAUACACUUCUGAGUUUACCCUUUUCUCGCGGUUCAUUGGGUGCAGAUAAAGAGGGAAACAAGCCGGUCAUCAUUAUUAUAAUAGUGAUAACAGGAACUGUCUUAGUUCUUGCUUGUGCAUAUAUCAUGUGGAGAAGAAUAUCUAACCACCACGGUAAUAUAUCAUAUACUCUGAAGAGUUUUCUACAUAUUAGUACUGUCGAUACAAAUCAUACAAAGACAUGUUCAGAAUUUUCUAUAAAAUUAAAUUAUUUCUGCUAACUAGUUUCUGUUUUCUUUAACUGAACAAUUUCAAAUCAGUCCAUUUUUUAUUGUUUGACGCUUCUUCCUCCUGCUAAUUUGUGGCUUUCAAAUAAUUCAGGAAGAAACCAAUUUGACAACACAAUUGGAGAACUGUCACAAGUUAAACUCCAAGAGCUAUUACUAUUUAAUUUUGGAAAGCUUGCAACUGCGACCAACAACUCCAAUUCAUCCAACAAACUUGGGCAGGGUGGUUUCGGACCAGUAUACAAGGUAUAUUAAUUAAAUGAAGUUGUAGAAAAUAAUACUGAUAUAUUUCAAAGUUGUAAAAAGAGUACAUGCACAAAUUUGUUUAAUUUCUCUUCUAGGGAGCACUGCCUAGUGGUCAGGAAAUUGCGGUUAAAAGACUCAUCUGGACAAAGUCUAAAAGAAUUCAUGAAUGAAGUAGUGGUGAUUUCUAAGCUUCAACACCGCAAUCUUGUAAGACUUCUCGGUUGUUGUGUUGAAGGAGAGGAAAAGAUGUUGAUAUAUGAGUACAUGCCAAAUAAAAGUUUGGAUGCAUUUCUCUUUGGUUAGUCUUUGACACUGUACCAUUUGUUUCAUACCCAAUUCAAACUUUGAGGUUAAACGCUAUUCAUCAUAUAUGGAAAUGUUUUGUAACGAUGAACAAUUGUUUCACAGCCAAUGACACAACUUAUCUUGUAUUAGUACUAGAUUCAAAAUAACAAAAGUUCAAUUUUUCAUUUAUUAGAUUCAUCGGAAAGUAAAAUCCUUGAUUGGAGUAAACGCUUUAGCAUAAUAGAAGGAAUAGCUCGGGGAUUGCUUUAUCUUCACAGAGAUUUCAGGCAAAAAAUUAUACAUAGAAAUUUGAAGCCAAGUAAUAUCUUGCUAGAUAAUGAGCUUAAUCCAAAAAUAUCAGACUUUGGUAUGGCCAGAAUCUUUGGAGGUAGUGAAGAUCAAGAAAAUACUAGAAGAGUCGUCGGAACUUAGUAAGUACACCACUAUACCUUCUUAGUUCAAGGUUAAAGUAGUGUACUUUGAUAUUAAAUUAAAUUGUCUUGCAUUUCAAUGUAGUGGCUAUAUGUCUACAGAAUACGCAAUGCAAGGACUGUUUUCUGACAAAUCUGAUGUUUUUAGCUUCAGAGUUUUGCUUCUUGAGAUUGUUAGUGGAAGACGAAAUUCAAGCUUCUAUGACUGCGAGGAUUCUUUGACCCUUUUAGGAUUUGUAAGUAUCUUAAAUUAUCUUAUCUAACUAACCCAAUCUUGGAUGUUCUUCAGCUUUCUCAAAUGUUUGAUAUUUGGCUUGUCAAUUUAGGCUUGGAUACAAUGGACAAAAGACAAUAUUUCAUCUCUUAUAGAUCCAAGAAUAUAUGAUCCUAUUCAUCAUGAAUGUAUCAUUAGGUCCAUACACAUAGGGCUUCUGUGUGUACAAGAAUUUUCCAUAGACAGACACACUAUGUCUGCUGUAAUUUCUAUGCUUAAUAGUGAGAUUGUAGACCUUCCUCCACCAAAGAAACCUGCAUUCAUCCUGAGGCAGAAUAUGAUGAGCACAGUGUCGUCUGAAGAAAGCAAUGAUGGCUUGUACUCUAUCAACUUAGCCAAUAUUUCAGAUAUCCAUGGCAGAUAGCUAACUAAGAACACUAUAUCGUCUCUUGGAGAGAAUAAGAAUUAUGUUAGUCUAGGAAAGGUUGCUGGAACUUGGAAAAUUAUAGGUAUACCCGUUUCUUUGUCAAAAAGUAUAUAAUAAGAUUUCAAGUAUUGAAAGUUUUGCUAUUGAGAUGAUUUAUGAGCUCAGAAAACUUUAAAGUUGUUUUAUAUCUUGUAUUUGCCUAUCAUCUAUGAAAUAUUAAAAUUACCUUGUUAAUUCUUUACCACAUAGCAUACCGUUUUGUAAUUGGUUUUAUAAAGAGUUGGUCGUUUAAAACUUUUCUAUAGCAGUUUACAACUAAAUCAUUAAUUCAUUGAAAGUCCACUAUAAAACCACAUGCAUCUUAAGAGUAAGGGACAUUACAAUUAAACUAUACUGAAGCAUAAAUUAUGACCAUGACGCCAGAACUUCUCUCUAUUGAAUUCCUAAAUUGUGUUAUUGUUCUUUCCCUUAAAAAAUUUAUUAUUCUAUUUAGCAAAUUUAUACAGUAAUGAAUUUUGCACAUCAAAAUAAGUGGAUGUAUUUAAUGUGUACCAUAGAUAUUUUUGGAAAUUAAAAUAUUUUAAUGUUGAUUCAUUUUUAAAAAAAUUCUUUAAUUUUUAUAAUUUGGUCUUCUUUUUCUUGUUAAACUUUUUGGAGAUAUUAAAUUUGUCUUUAACAACAUUGUAUUUUGUCAAUUUCAAUUUGAAUUUUAAAACAUAAAAUAUGGGAUAUAGAAACUAAAAACUAAAUAAGAUGAGGUUAUAUAUGCUACACCUCUUUGUCAUUUUUAUUUCUUCCGAUUUUCCACGUGUUUCCUCAAGAGAUAAUUUUGUUUGAGUAUUGUCGAACUCUAAGGAUACGUCUAGAUGGAGGGUUUUGGAAAGAAAGGGGUGAGAGGACUUCUUUUUUAAAAAAAAAAUUAAGGAAGCUAUAUAAUAUGUCUAAAGAUAAAUUAAGUGUAAUUAAGAUGUUAUAUGACAAUUUAAGAGGACUUAUUUUCUUUUUUCAAAUUAAAGAAGCUAUAUAAUGUUUCUAAAGAUAAAUUAAGUGUAAUUAAGAUGCUAUAUGACCAUUUAUCAUGUAAUUCUUUUGAUUAUUGUAAGAUUUCAAAUAUAUACCAAGGUAUGGACAUAACCCCAAAGGCCUACUCCCAAACAUAUCCUAAAUGUGGACACAUCUUCUAUCCAGGAUUUGAACUACAUGAACAAAACACAGCAAAUAGAGAUAAUAAUUUGUAUUAUGUCAAUUUCUUCAUUAGUUCACUAAUUGUCCUUAACAAAUUGAUUUUUCUAUAAACUAAUUGCAUAUAUACUCUAAUUAAUUUUGACUAAGAUGAAACUAAGAACUAAGAAUUAAUUCAAAGCUUCGAUUGCCAAUCACUUGUACUACUAUAAUGUGUAGGUCUCAAUCAGAAUACAUAUUUCUUAGGAAUAUCGUUGAAGAAGUCUCUAAUAAGAUUGAUCGCACUCCUUUACAUGUUGCUGAUAACCCAGUUGCACUAGAAUCCGCAGUGCUAGAAGUGGCAUCUCUACUAGGAGGAUGUGACUGGUUUGGCUCUGGCAGCAAAGUUAUAAUCACUACAAGAGAUAAUCAUUUGUUAUCCACUCACAGGAUUGUGAAGUCAUUUGAGGUAAAACAGCUAAAACAUGAAAAGGCUCUCGAAUUGUUUAGUUGCCAUGCCUUCAAAAACAAAAAAAUGGAUCAAGAUUAUGUUAAUGUUGUCAACCAUGCAGUAUUAUUGUCAUGGUCUUCCAUUGGCUUUGGAGGUGAUAGGUUCUCACUUGUUUGGCAAAAGUUUGGAUGUAUGGAAAUCAGCAUUAGAUAAAUAUGAAAAAAGUUAUACACAACAUACUUAAAGUUAACUAUGAUGAUUUGGAAGUAGAUGAGAAGGGCAUUUUUCUUGACAUCGCUUGUUUCUUCAAUUCUUACGAAAAGAGCUAUGUUAAAGAAAUACUAACAUGGUUUUCAUGCGGAAGAUGGCCUUCAAGUGCUGACUAACAAAUCUCUCAUAAAUCUCUCAUAAAAAUUGAUGGCAAUGGUUGUGUUAGAAUGCAUGACUUAAUUCAAGACAUGGAAGAGAAAUCNNNNNNNNNNNNNNNNNNNNNNNNNNNNNNNNNNNNNNNNNNNNNNNNNNNNNNNNNNNNNNNNNNNNNNNNNNNNNNNNNNNNNNNNNNNNNNNNNNNNNNNNNNNNNNNNNNNNNNNNNNNNNNNNNNNNNNNNNNNNNNNNNNNNNNNNNNNNNNNNNNNNNNNNNNNNNNNNNNNNNNNNNNNNNNNNNNNNNNNNNNNNNNNNNNNNNNNNNNNNNNNNNNNNNNNNNNNNNNNNNNNNNNNNNNNNNNNNNNNNNNNNNNNNNNNNNNNNNNNNNNNNNNNNNNNNNNNNNNNNNNNNNNNNNNNNNNNNNNNNNNNNNNNNNNNNNNNNNNNNNNNNNNNNNNNNNNNNNNNNNNNNNNNNNNNNNNNNNNNNNNNNNNNNNNNNNNNNNNNNNNNNNNNNNNNNNNNNNNNNNNNNNNNNNNNNNNNNNNNNNNNNNNNNNNNNNNNNNNNNNNNNNNNNNNNNNNNNNNNNNNNNNNNNNNNNNNNNNNNNNNNNNNNNNNNNNNNNNNNNNNNNNNNNNNNNNNNNNAGAAUUACCUAGUUUAUCUAGAGUACCAAAUUUGGGGGCACUAUGUCUUGACAACUGUACUAAUUUAAUUAGAAUCCAUGACUCAGUUGGAUUUCUUGAUAAACUUGUUUUAUUAAAUGCUCAAGGAUGCACUCAACUAGAAAUUUGGGUACACAACAUCAACUUGUCCUCUCUAGAGACUUUGGAUAUGAGGGGUUGCUUGCGUCUUGAGAGCUUACCUGAAGUAUUGGGAAGAAUGGAGAAGUUAAGAGAUGUUUAUUUAGAUCAGACUGCACUAGAUAAGUUACCUUUUUCAAUAGGUAAUCUUGUUGGGCUCCAACAACUAUUCAUGAGGGAAUGCCAAUGGAUGAUUCAGUUACCAAGUAGUAUCCAUUUAUUGCCCAAACUUGAGAUAAUAACUGCUUAAGGUUGUCGAGGUUUCGAUUAUUUGACAAUAAUAAUCAUAAAGAAAAAGUUGGUUCACAAUCACUAGUGAUUCCAGCAGUCAUGCGUAUUUAUGAUGAAGGCAUGGAGAGCUUACUUGAUGUGUGUUUUCUUAACAUGUGUCCUAAUAACGUCAUAGAAGUAUGCAGUCCUUCGUUUGCUAAUGGAAAUAUUAGAUUAGUGUUUUUGGAAGGGACUAAACAAGGGGAUGUAAAUUGGUACCAGCUGGAAAUCAAGGAAUCAUCUAUGUAUUUUUGGUUCGGAAAGAAAUUCCCACGGAUAUCUCUAUGUUGGGCAGGACAACCUCAAAUUAAUAAAGACAAUAUGAUGUUGGAUUUCAAGUUCAGCGUACUCAUCAAUGGCACUAAGCAACUCACUUCUUCAUGUAACUACAUAUUUUCUGCAAAAAAGAUGAUGCAGCAAGUACUUUUCUGUGAUUUAGAAUGCAAAGUGGGAAAGCCAUUUUCAGAGCAUGAAUGGUAUACGGCAGAGAUUUUAUGUGAGUUGAAAUACCACAUGCCAUGUGGCUUGGAAAGGGUACUGGAUAUCAACGACAGGAGGACCAUAAUACGAAGUUGGUCCUUCAUUCGUUUCGGUGUAGAAAACAAGGAGGAUGUCAUAUUUCCGCCUAGGUUUCAGAGUUGAUGAGUUACAGAGAAGAAAAGAAACAUUGAACGUAGUCAAUGGUUCCAACAAACACUGAUGUGUUGGGAGUCUCAAUCACAAUGUUAGAUAAAAUUGAAGUUAGUUGUAGGUAGUUAUAAGUCGAUUACUAUUGACUACUAGUUAAGAUUUAUUAGUUUGGUUAUAUAUAAAGUGUAUCACAUAUUCAUUGUAGUCAACUUUUCUCAUUGAAUCAAUUCCAAAUAGAACGCUCAUGACUUAGCUGUUUUUGUGUUUUCAAAUACAACAUUCUCUCAAAAAACCCUGUAAUAAAUAGUUGAUCUUGAAAAAUCUGACCUACCCAAAUGAUUUUCUGUUUUUGUGUUUUCAAAUUUAAUCAACUGGUUUUUUGUCUCUUUCUUAUGCGUCUUUUCAACUUUGUCUUAAUUAAUCAACAAAGCCGCACAAGUCAUUCUAAAAAAUGACUUGUGAUUUUAAGUUGUUCAUUGUACCAAAGGAUAUCUUGUAGCUAGCAAUAUUGUGAAGACAACUUUUUUUGUUAUGUUCUUCGUAAAUGACCAUAUUCUUUUAGAUUCACUUUAUUUAUUUUAAUUUGAUCUCAAUUUGUAUUACUUUGAGAUAAUAAAAAUAUGUAAUUUGAUAGAGACCAGUCUCCAAAAUCAAUAGAAAUUGUAAUAUUGCAUGAUAAUAAGAAAUAUUAUAGAGAAUGAUCCUUAUAAUCCCAGAGCAAUGCUCCUCAGCGAAGAUAAUUUCUUUGUAUUCCCAAAUCUAGAAGGUCCUAACUAAAUAUGAUUCUGAAAAUGAUUUCCUCCUUGCUAACCGUCUCCUUAAUAUAACUACAUUCUCCUGCUAACAAAUUUGCUACAUAAGCAUAUCGUAAACAAUUCUCUAUUUGGCCCAUUUAUUGUUCUAGGCCCAAAUCAAGUACCUAAUAUAAUUCAUCAAUAAUUUCCUUUAAUUAAUCUAAUAUAAUCAUCUUGAAGUACACAUGUGUGUAUUAGGGGCGCUAAGGAAUUAAAUUUCUGUCUUUUUUGACAAAUAAACAAAUAAUUCUUUACUAUAAAUUAUUUUCUCCAUCAUACAGCAAUUUUAAUGGUAACAGAACUAGGAUAUAAUAAAAGUCGUUUGUCUCUCAAAAGAAUAAAAACCUUUAUUAUUACUAUAUAUUGAUCAACAUACUAAAAAAACUGUUCCUAUAUGCCACAUACCUUUAUGCAAAAUACUAAAAAAAUUAAACUACAGUGAAGCAUAAAUGCUGAUUUAACUUACCUGCACCUCUUAUUGUAACUUGGUACAAGAUCUUGGAGAAUCUUCAUCCUCUCACUGAUUUUCUCCUCCUGUACCCAUAUUAAGGCAAGUUUAUACAAUGUCAAUUACAUAUUUAUUUGCCAUUGUCAAUGUCAUUCAUAAAAAACAAAGGCAAUAAUCCUUGCACAUUUUGCAAGAAUUUGGCUAUUAGUAACAUGAUCUAUUCUCAUUCUUACAUGCAUGUAAUUUUGGAGGUUCUGAUUUCAGAGGAAGUAUCUUUCUCUUCCCCUGCAGUAGUAGCACUAGCACCUUCUUUGGGUUGGACUCGUCCUUAUUGGGCCAUUUUCAUUUCCAUCAUCCUCGUCUGGGCUGUUGUGCUUAGAUUUGAAUCUUUACAACCAACUUCAACAUCUUGAAAUGAUGAACAUUGUGUGAUUUGAAGUUUCUUUGCAGGACCAAAAUGAAAACGAUAAAUAAUUUUACUUAAAAAAUUAUUCGCCUUAGAUACUGCAGAUUCCUCUUGAGGAUUGGAUAUUUUUGCAUUCUGUCAAGGAAAAAAAAAAGGUAAUGAUAUUUCAUAAUAAUGCAGUCAAGAUGAAAUAAUUGCUCUUUACUCUUCAAAUUUCUAAUACUAUCUACUCAAAUUUUAAAUCUGAGACACCACCCUGUGUUAAUUCUAUCUUACAUCUUCUAGAAAAAAGAUUUUGUUUCAUUAGACAGGUAUGAGCAUAAAAAGAAUACUGUAGAAACAACUCUACUACCAAACCAAAGAAAUCAUCAUAUCCAAAUUGAAACUACCAAAAGUGAAUUCAUAGUGCAAGGAGAUAUCUAUGUUUAAAGCUUUCAUAAGAAUAUCAAAGAGCAAAAAUGAACAAAUUUAUCUUAAACAGGAAUCCGUCUAUAAGACAAUGAUUGUCUACGUGGCACCUAGCUAGAAUAAAAUAAUCAUAAUGCAAGCAAUGCUACAAAUCUACCUUUCUUUCUCAUUUAACAAUAGGCACUUAGAAUUGCAAUACUAUAUAAUCAAACUUAAAAUCUGAGACUAAAUGUAUUAAAAUUUGAAAGCAAAAUAAAGAAUGAUGAUAAUUGAUUACUAUAACAAUAAUUGAAUCAAGAUUAUUAAACGGAAUUCUGUUUCUUUGAACAGAUAUGAGCAUCGCUAAAUUAGCGGAGAAACAAUUCUAUCGUCAAAUCACGAAAUCAUCACAGAAUGAUGGUAAAAUACAAAAUAUCGUGUCGUGAUCAAAGCCAAUUGGAACCAAAAUUAAAUUCAAAGAAACCAUUGGAAGGAACCAGAAAGAGAUUAGCGAGAAAUGGAUGAGGUCAAUGUAGGUGGUGUUUUGUGUAGGUUAGUGUGUUAUAGCGGAGAAUGAAUGAGGGUUUGAAAAGAAAGAAGAUGAAGGGAAAAACGGUGUCAUAGAAUGCGAGGGGUGAGUAGGCUGUUUUCAUAGAGGAGUGACUCUCACACUGUGGGGAGCUUUACAACAACAAUGGAGAUGACCAGAAAUAGGAGAUAUCAUUUAGUCACAAACUUAAACUUUUGUCCAAACACAAUUUUAGAUUUAAAGAAGAUGCAUUUACACAUGUAACUAAUAAUAACGAAAAAGGUGUUUUGCUAACAAUAUGUUUUUUCAUAAAUGAAUUAGAGAACUAUAUGGAGACCUAUUAGAUUUAAUUAUGAGAAUGACGCCACUUGGCACUUGCAACCCAUUUCAAAAAUCACACAAUUCAUAUUUAUCUGUUACACAUUUUUUUUAAGGAAUCUGCUACACAAUUCAAUAUGGUGGAAACAUCGUAAAUUUGAGAAAGCAAAAAAGAAUGAAAAUCCAAAUUGGUUCUCCAACUCACAACAAUAUUGGAAUAAGGCAGCCUCUAACUCUGUUCAUAAUUAACAUGGUUGAUUUUUUUAAUAGAAAAAAAAACCAGAAGUAGUAUAUGUCUGAUUUAGUUACAUUAUUGUUUAAAUUCUAGCCAUAUUAAGAACAACUCCCUGAUCAGGUUCAAUAACCAAACCAUAAGCCGGUGAAUGGCACCACGACGCUGUAUUUGCAGUAGUUUCAUGUCCAGCAAAGAAUAGAGUUCUGCAGUUAUCUACAAUGAACCUGUCUUGUAAGAUUGAAUUCUUUCCACUAUCAAGUAUCAUUUGCAAGAAUCUAAAACAAAGUAUAAUACCAUUUUCCACGUUAGUAUCAUCUCUAACAAGACCAACAAAAUAAUAAGAUAUGAAUAUCGUAGAUUAGUAACACUACUUCAAAAGAGUAAAGAAAAAAAAAAACACAACUAGAAAAUAUAUGACGAAGUUCGGUUAUUUGUGUUUACAUCUCCUACUACACGUUAUUUGUAUUAAUAUUUCAAGUUUAGGAUUUAGAACUUGUAUUUAUAUACUACUGUUCUAGAUUCCAACAAUAACAUGAAUCUUACUCGAUAGAAAAAAUGAUAAUUGGAAAACAUGAAAAUGGAAAAAGAGUAUUUUAUAUAGCUGAUAGCUGAUAGCUGAUAGCUGAUAGCUGAUAGCUGAUAGCUGAUAGCUGAUAGCUGAUAGCUGAUAGCUGAUAGCUGAUAGCUGAUAGCUGAUAGCUGAUAGCUGAUAGGCUAUAGCUGAUAGCUGAUAGCUGAUAGCUGAUAGCUGAUAGCUGAUAGCUGAUAGCUGAUAGCUGAUAGCUGAUAGCUGAUAGCUGAUAGCUGAUAGCUGAUAGCUGAUAGCUGAUAGCUGAUAGCUGAUAGCUGAUAGCUGAUAGCUGAUAGCUGAUAGCUGAUAGCUGAUAGCUGAUAGCUGAUAGCUGAUAGCUGAUAGCUGAUAGCUGAUAGCUGAUAGCUGAUAGCUGAUAGCUGAUAGCUGAUAGCUGAUAGCUGAUAGCUGAUAGCUGAUAGCUGAUAGCUGAUAGCUGAUAAGCUAUCAGGCUGAUAAGCUAUCAGGCUGAUAAGCUUAUCAAGGCUGAUAAGCUAUCAGGCUGAUAAGCUAUCAGGCUGAUAAGCUAUCAGGCUGAUAAGCUAUCAGGCUGAUAAGCUAUCAGGCUGAUAAGCUUAUCAAGGCUGAUAAGCUUAUCAAGGCUGAUAAGCUUAUCAAGGCUGAUAAGCUUAUCAAGGCUGAUAGCUUAUCAAGGCUGAUAGCUGUUAUCGCCCGAUAGCUGAUAGGCGAUAUCACCUAUCAGAUAUUAAGAUAUCAAGAUAUCAGAUUUUCAAUUAUACGUCACCUUAUAUUUUCAUUUCAAAAAAAUAAAUAAAUAAAUAAAUAAAUAAAUAAAAAUAAAAAUAAAAAUAAAAUGAGAAUGACCUGAAGAGCUUCCAUGCGAUGUAGGUGAUAACACCGACAGGGUUAGACACGAUGAGUAUGCGGCGAGUAACGAGCCAGAGCAGGUAUGAUUUCCUUUAAUAGAGCGAGGUUCCUCUGAGGGAGGUUCAGCCUUGACUCACCGGCAAUCUGUCGUGCGCCGGCGGUAACAAUACAAAGAUCGGACCCGGAACGGAGUAUUCA